This 61117-nucleotide long non-coding RNA is filed under the name Cucumis sativus (cucumber). RNAcentral's name for it is "long non-coding RNA (CSAT_LNC001879)". The record is from RNAcentral. Lineage: Eukaryota; Viridiplantae; Streptophyta; Magnoliopsida; Cucurbitales; Cucurbitaceae.
UUUGAAAGAACGCGUGGAAUUCGAUGACAAAAAUCUUGUGGUAAGAAUGGUUGGAUUGGAAGGAGAUGUGUUUAAGCAUUACAAAACCUUCAUUGCAACAUAUCAAGUUGUCCCAAAAGGACUGGGUCGUAGCGUGAUAAUUUUUACCUUGGAAUAUGAGAAACUUAAUGAUGGUUCUCCUUACCCUGACAAGUAUCAUGAGGCUAUGGAUAACCUUGCUAAGGACAUUGAAGCUCACCUUUUAAAAGAUACGGUUCAACUUGUUUCCGCACGUUUGCCAUAAUUAAUAUGAUAUGAAUAAGCAUGUUGUGUUAGGGUUGAUUCUAUAAGAUGUUGUGAGGAUUUUGUAACACUAAAUAAUGGUUAUCCUCGUGUAAAAUAAAUGAAACUCAAACAUAAUUUUGUUUUAAAUAAUAUGUACUAUGCUAUCUUUUGAUAUAUAUAAUGUAUGGUUUCUCGGCUAUUUUCUUUGUCACUUGCUGAACUCUUACAUAGUUUUCACUUUCAAGUCUUAUUUCUAUCACUUUUAAGUGCGGGAGAAGAUGAUAAUAUUAUUUCUUUUGGGAAAGGGAAAGUUAAAAGUUGAUUUGAUGGCUUCAAUUUAAUGGAUUUUAAUAUCUAUAUAACACAGGGAUAGGGAGAAAUAAAAGUAAUUAAAGCCAAAAUGGAGUUCUUUAGAUUCUUACUAAAUUAUGAUAGUUUUUUUUUGGGUGUUACUGAUUUAUGACUAAAAAUAACAACAAAAAACAUUGAAAGUUUUUAUUUUUUUUACAUUUUUUCAACAAUUUGAGAAUAGAAUUAAUAGGAGUGAAAAUUCUUUAAAGUCAAUGGAUUGAAAGAAAAAAAAAAACGUUUUUGAUAGAAGCAAACAAAAGUUUUAGGUUUUCUUUUGGACUUUUAUGACUUUUUUUUAGGUCAUCAAUGCAAUCAAUGUAUGAGUGUUUUCUAUGACAUCAAUGUAUAAUCUACAAAAUUAAAUCUUAUGUGAUUUCUAAUUAAGAUUUUAAAAAGUUCUUAAGUAUUUUCUAAACCCUUUUAAAGUCAUCUUAAAAACUUCCUUUUAAACAUGACUCUUUUUUGUGUGUUCUUUAACAACUAAAAUUAAGCAAUGCAUUAUAUUUAAAAGAGGUUUCUUAAUCAAUUUUCUUUAUAAGAAAUUGGUUUUAAAGACCUUUGUCUUUAAAAUAGUUGUAAGAUGACAUGGAAUCUAUAAAAUUUAGGAGUCUAUUUUCUACAUUUAUAUAGGAGAGAGAUCAUAUGGAGAGUUUUGGUGGAAUUUAUAUCCUAAAACUCAUAUUUUGUAGUUUAAAAUCAUAUUACAUUUAACGAAGUUGCUGUUGAGGAAUUAUCAGUGAAAUUGAAUAUUAUAUUCUUGAAUCCAAUAAACUAAGGUUUCGAGACUAUCUUAAAUAUAAACUUGAAUUUUAUGUAGAGAUAUAAACAUAUGGACCAAGUUUGAGUAUAUAGCCUAAACGGUCUAUAGUAUAUGAAUAAGUUUGGGUGUUUACCAUAAGACUGGAACCAUGAAAUAAUCAUUUUACGUUCUAACAUUGUUUACUAUAUAAAACUGAUUAUUUCAAUUAUUGAUGACCUACCUAACUUAAUCUUAAUCAUUAGCUAACUAUGAACUCAUGUUCACACGAGAUUAUCCUUAGAUCUACCUAGGUCAGAGCAACUGGUUUUGAAUAAGGGUUUGUAGGGAUGUUGAUGGUGAAGUGGUAUUCAUCAAAGUAGUCCCCACGUUUAGUAAGUUAAAUCUUCAGGCGUUAAGAAUUAGAUGCUAAUAUGGUUAUUGCGUUGUUUAACACGUAGUGAGGUGUUAAGACAUUACUAAAAAUAAGAAAGUUUUUAUUGUAUGUAAUUGUAUUUCCCAAAAGAUAUUUCUAAAUUAUGUCAAUCACUAAGCUAUUGACAUACAUUUUAAGUAUUCCCUCUCCAAAUUAAGUGAAGAAGUGCGAUCAGAAGAGGCGAGAGGAGGUCAGUACUGCUAAGUACUUGAUAUGUCACGUAGUCGUAAUUAGCUCAAGUUUUGUGAUCCUUUAAGUUGUAAGUUGUACGCUGGCAUUGUAACAAAUUAUUAAUAAAAUAAUUACUAAUUUUUCAAAUCACUUGAUGUCCUAGCAUAUAGUAGAAGCUUUUACCAGCAUGAACACAUACCACUCAAUGCGUUCACCCAUCGUUCUACCAAGUAGACAACUCGACACAUGAAAGUCUGUACUUUUGUGUGUACAUAAUAGCUAGAUUUUUAUCAAGAAUAAGGCUAAUUGGUUUUGUAUACAUACAAGCAUCACAACAAUACAACUUCACAAACAUAGACAUACUUCAAACUGGUCAUAUUUUUUCAUAUGUAUAGAUGAGAUUAGAGCAUGAGUAUUUUUAACAACAUGAAAAUAUAACAAUAUAACUUUGGUGGUAAAAACAUUUUUCAAAAGCUUGCUUUUUUUUUUUAAAUUUCUCUCUUACUCAGCUAAGUCUUUCUUUUUCCCUUUCUCUCUUCUUCUUAUCGUCUAGCUUUUCUUCCCUCUUGUCGCUUGGUCCUACAACUAAGCUUCACAUUUUACUCCUCUAAUAGUGCUUCCUCUUAUCCAAACACUUGAAUUAAUCAUUAUUGAAACCUAUUUAACUUCUCUCAAAACAGGUUAGCUGACUAAUCAUUUAAGUUUAACACUUAACCAACUCCUCCUUGCCUCACCUAGCCCAUCAUUUGAUAAUUGGUUAAGUGCACAUUGUCAUCUUCCCUUUUCGCGUAAUCUAGCUUAUUAUACCAUGAUGCCUUUCUUCAUUACACGUUGUCUAAUUCUUUUGCCUUUUGCCUUUUUCUUCUCGUUGUCUCGAAAUGCCUACUCAAUGUUAAAUCUAUUUACUUAAAAAAUUAAUUUACAAGAAACCCUUCUAUUAGGACGCUGGUUUCACAUCCUUUCUCAAGGUUAACUAAAAAACAACCCUUGAUUCUUAGCUUUUCUUUCUAAUCCUACAAUAGAUUUGGGGUUUACACUUUGGUAGCCAACAAAAACAGUGGGCACAUAUAUAGACACCUAUAGACCAAUUGGAUGCAUGCCAUCCUUUCCUCAAGUAGGUUGGAUGCAUCCCUCAUUCAGUUGGAGACAUAGUUUAACUUCUUAACACCUACUCAGCUUGUUAGACAGAUUGCAAAUACCAUUUAGGCACAUAGUUUUUCAAUGAUGGACCUCCUCAUUUUUGCCACGAUCCUAGGUUCUCAUUCGCACACCUCCAUAUUUCAAAGUUCCUUUAAGAGAUUCCCCCAAUUAAUUGAUAAAAUGGGCUCCUCUUGUUGGUAUUUAUAGGCUUUUCUAAGUCAUCCUUAUCAUCCUCAUCUAAUCUUUGUUUGACACUACCUACCAAAAAUUUGUCCAAGUGUUAGUCCCAUGAGUAUUUUCAUCUCAAAGUUCGUCACUUCACCUACAUGUAAAAACUCAUCUUCUAAGUGUUAUCUUAUCCUCUCGCCAUCUCCUACUUCCAACUCCAACCCUCGUGAUUCCAACUUCCAACUUGAACCAAUUAGGUGCUUGAUCUCUUUCAAAUACUUAACUAUAGUAUUUUCCUUUAUUUCAUAGUUUUGGCUUCUUCAACGCAUAGUUUAUUGAUGAAUUGAUCAUCGUGUAGUUAAUUAUGGCACCAUGUACUUGAUUAUCUCAAUACCACAUAGCUGACUAUCUCACCUUAUACUGAUUAUCAUACCACGUAGUUUGACAACUACUCACAAUGUGGUUUGUUCUAGUUCACAACAUAGUUUAACAACUAUUUACCAUGUAGUUGGUCCUAAUUCAACAUAUAAUUUGUCCAAACUCACCACAUCGUUGGUCCCAACUUGUCACUAUUUUUAUAGUUAUUCACUAUGUAUUCUGUCCCAAGUCACUACGUAGUUUUUCAGUAGUUUUAAACAAGCUAAAAUAUCACAUGCAUAGAAUAAGUGAGCAAUGACAAGAUAAAGUUUAUUAAAAACUAAACUUUAAUAUUACUUAUUAUCCUUAAAGUGAUCAAGGAGAGUAUUGGAAGUAUAACAUAGAAGAAUUAAUAAAUAAGGUGAGAGAAGUUCUAAUAGCACAAAAAAUGUUAUGUCUAGCACCAAAAAUCUAUGAUUUUACGUUCUUAUAUGUGUAUCUUAUAAGUUUCGAGCAAACUAUGGGUAGAAUUCGGUAUUUAUGUCAAUUUGAGGUUUAAUUUGGUGAAAAUAUAGUUAAGAGGCAUCAUCAGAGGUGAAAUGUGAAAAAACUGGCAACAUUUGGCCUCUGCCUUGUAGUGUCGCAACACCUUAUAACACAUUGCGGGGUACAAUAAGGCAAUAACUUUACUGCUCAAAUUUUUCACUGAGUGUGAUACUGCCUUAGAGCGCUAUGAUGCUACGAACCAGAUGCAUAUAAUGUUUCACUUUAGUGUCAUGGCGCUACCCUUAGUGCUACUUCAUAUUUUAAGUACCGUGUUUCGCCAUCUUGGGCCAUCUUAUAUGCGUAUAAUGUUUUACUUUAGGAAACCUUGUAGGCAAUCAACAUAUCCAUAAAUUUCAACAACAUAAAAGAUUAAGGUCGCCUCUUUUAUCUGACCUUAAACUUGUUGCCUAGCUUAGAAACACCUAGGUGAUCCACGAAAGAAUUCAAAUGCAACGUAUCAUAAAUCAAGCAAUAUACCCUUUCUAAAGACAUCAAAAGUUAUAACUAAUGUGCACAAACGAUCUCUAAUUCUUUGGCAUCAUGAAAAUAUUGAAACAUUUUUUUUUUAUCAUUGACACUAGUACUACUAAUCCUACUUGUUCUAGUUCUCAAAUCUUGCAUAAUUGAGGCCAGACAGUUAGGGUUUAUCUUGGUUUCUUAGUGUAGGUUUCUCUUAUGUUAUUUUUAUUUUUGUUUAAUAUAAUUUCAUCCUAUCACUUUUGGUCUUAGGAAAAUUGAGAGAAUUAUUUUGUUUUGGAGCCAGCAUCCAUCCAUCUUAUGCCACAUUUUUCAGGUAAGUUUUUUGUUUUCCUUUUCAAUUUGACUCUUGUUUUCAUGUAAUUAUCACUUAAGGAUAAUGUUAGAAUUUAAGUUGGAAGCACAGUAUGUCUGUGUUUUGGAUAGAGCAUAUGAGCUUGGGGCUAUUGUGUGUACUUCUUUGUUGCCUUGUGCCUUUCAUUGACUUAUCGAUGACAUGCUCUCAAAGUCAUGCAGUUGUGAGGCAAUAUAUGAAUAAAACGAUUAUGAUUUUAAGCAUAUUUUAAUUUUUUUUCUUCCAUAUCUUAUGCACACUUUAGUCUUUCAGUUAACUAUCGUAGGUUUUGCAUGCUUAGAGUAGCUUUAUCGAGUCCAUAUGUUUGUUGUCACGUUGAAAGGCCUUUCUUUAGUGGUAGUUGCAUUUCCAUCUUACUAUUGCCAAUAUGGGGAAGGAAAAUUGAAGGUUCUUUAAAUUUAUUCUAGGUUUUUUUUUUAAGUAGAAGGGUUUUUGACUCAUUUAUACGUGAGUGGAUAUGAAAAAAUAACUUUAAAUGUGCAUCAAUUGAUUGCUUUUUCCAUUUUAUGCUUAGUUCUUGUUAAUUGUUAAGGCAUGAGAAUGUAACUUGGCAACUUAGCAAACAAUUGUGUGUAACUGUAUGCUUUAUUCUACUUUGCUCGGGUUGAUCAAGGACUAAGUUGGGGAUUUUAGGUAGCACAAGAAAACGUGUUAUCAAAUCUCGCUUAAUUCAAGAUCAUUUUAUGGUUUUAUGUUUCUUUUUUACUAUUUUGUAGGCAUCAAACAAAUCAAGGGUAUCAUUCGAUGUUGAUGUCAAAUUUGAGCUGAAUUAGGUGAAUACGAAGUCAGUAUGCAUCAACUUAGGACAAGGAGUGAAGAAAAUAACAAAAUAGGUAGGCCUUGCAAUGUUGCAGUACUUAUGGAGCAAUGCACGAUGUUGUAAGAAGGGUUAUUGUUAGAAAUAAUAGGCUAGGUCAUGAGUGAAAGCCCAUCGGUAGUUAAUAUUUACUUUUUCCUAAUUUUUAUUCUUUUAAUUAGGUUCAUGGUUUUUCUCCUGAUACUUAGUUUUCCGAGUAAAUUUUGGUGUUCUUUGUCUAUACUUUUAAUAUGGUAUCAGAGUGAAAUAUUGAACAAACCCUGGAUAACACAACUAGUGAUAGAAAUCAAAUAGAGAAGAAAGUCAGUUUUAGUGUUGUCGUUGUGACUAUUGUCGAUGCUCGGAUCAAUUGCUGCCAUGGAUGAAUGGUUCCACCGCCUUUAGAAAAUACUAACCAAUGUAAUUCUGUCAAUUCUGUUGUCGUUUGCAUCUCUCAUGCGCCACCACUUGAGCUACACGCGUCAGUAUCCAUCCUCCUAAGGCAACACUAAUCAUUUCUUUUGUGCAACCCUUUUCUUCUUUUGCGACCUAUAUUACGCUCCAUGUCCCGAUACAUGUAUUGCCACCUAAUUUUGACUGGUUGCCACUGCUUGUACCAUCAAAUCUAUAUGUCCUCCCAGCCAUUGACCUGAGUUAUCAUUUCGAUGUUAGAAAUCCUCACAUUCACUCAACAUUAAAGGUUGGUGAAUCUUCAGCACAUUCCAACUGUAAUGUGCAAACAUUCUCUUCUUCUUUGAGAAUAGUUGCUUGUUCCUGCGACGUUCAUUCAUAGAUGUGUCAUUUUAAUCUCUAAGUGUGCGACUUAAUAGACAACUAAAAUAAGAUGAUGCGAUAAAAAGGGCAUGUUUUAUCUAUGGAUUGCUGAUUUCCUAGUGAUAUGCAUGUAAUACAAGUUUUCCUUUCUAUCACCCAAGUGUAAGCAAAGAGAGGUUUCCUGGUAAGUCUAAGGUCAAACUUAGUGAAUUAGUAUUCCAAUUGAAUCUAUUGUGUGGCUAGUCCUAUGUUGUAUACUCUUUAAAAGAGGAAGUGUACAUGAGUCUGCCUCUAGGAUUUAAAGCUCAAUUUAAUAAACAGGUUUGCAAACAUCAAAAUUCAUUAUAUGGGUUGAAAUAGUCAUUAAUAGCAUGAUUUAACAUAUUUAACAUUUGCAUCAAGUCAGAGAGGUACAAUUAAGGGCACUCUAAUCCCACCUUGUUCACCAAAGUCUCCAAGGUAGGGAAAGUUACAGUAUUGAUUGUUUAUGUGGAUGACAUUGUGCUAUCUAGAGAUGAUAUUGAUGAGAUCAUUCAACUAAACAAGAAAGUAAGGUUUGAAUUAAAGUUAAGCACUUCGGAAAUCUGAGUAGUUUCUUGGGAUAGAGAUUACUAGAUCCAGAGAAGGCAUCUUAGUGUCCCAAAUACAGUACACCCUUGAUUUAUUAGUUGAGAAAUGUAUGCUUGGAUGUUGUCUUGCUAAUACACUCGUUGAGUUCAAUGCGAAACUAAAAAAUUCAAAUGAAAGGGUUUCUGCUGAUAAAGAAAAAUAUCAAUGCUUGGUGGAAAAGCUGAUUUACUUAUCUCACACUAAACCUGACAUCUCUUAUGCUACAAGCACCAUUAGUCACUUCAUGCAAGCACCUUAUGAGGACCACAUGGAAGCCAUUAAUAGGAUUAUGAGGUAUUUAUAAGAAGCUCCUGGUAAAGGUCUACGAUUCAAGAAGGUUGACAAAAGAUGUGUUGAAGUUUAUACUGAUUUCGACUGGGCUAGAUUUAUUGUUGAUAGAGAGUCUACCUCACGAGACUGUACCUUUUCGUAGGGCAAUCUUGUUACUUGGAGAAGUAAGAAGCAACAAGUAGUGGCUAGAAGCAGCGUUGAAGCCGAAUAUAGGGCUAGAUGUUUGGAGAUCUAUGAGGAGAGAUCUGGCUCUAUAAGAUGUUGUCUGAUCUUUAUCAAGACUAUGAGGUAUCGAUGAAGCUAUUCUAUGAUAACAAGGCAGCCAUUAGCAUUGCUAAUUACCUUAUCGAACAUGACAGGACUAAACAUGUGGAGAUUGACACACACUUUAUCAAAUACAAGGUUGAUAAUUGUAGCAUCUGCAUUCCAUACAUAUAAAAUUUUAAUGAUAUCCUCGAGCCAACAAAUUUUUGAUACCCUCACAAAGGGACUCGUCUUACAGAAUUUUGAUUUGUGUGUUAGUAUGUUAGGUCUUUAUGACAUUUACGUCCAAAGUUGUGGGGGAGUGUUAGAAAUAAUAAGCUUAGGUCAUGUUGAAAGCUCAUCAUUUCUAACACUCUCCUCAAGUCAAAUCACCGUGAAAAUCCAACAAAACUUGUGAUGGAAAUCAAACACAAAUAGGAAUGCUCGGUGUUGUCUAGAAAACACAACUAGUGAUGGAAAUCAAAUAGAGAAGAUAGUUGUUUGUAAUUUUAGCGUGACAAUCGAUGCUCGCAUCAUUGCUGCAAUGGACGAAUCGUGUCGCCCUGCCUUCAGAUAAAUUCGACCAAUGUAAUUUCGUUGAUUCUAUUGCCCACGUGACAUUGCGGGAGCUAUACGCGUUGGUCCAUCCUCCUCAGACAACAUCAACCAUCCUUUCUGUGCAACCCUCUUCUUCAUAUGUGGCCUAUAUUGCUCCUUACACUCUGAUUCAUGCACUGCCACCUAAUCUUGGCCAACCACCACCACUUCUACAAUCAAAUUUGUAUCCCCUACUACCCACUAACAUUAGUUAUCAUCUCGAUGUUAGGAAUCCACAAAUUCAAACAUUUAAGAUUGGUGAAUCUUCGACAAAUUCCAAACCUAACGUGCAAGCUUCCUCUUCUUUUUUAAGAAUAGCUACUUGUUCAUGCAACGUUCAUUUGUAGAUGUGUCAUGUUAAUCUCUAAGUGAGCUACUUAAUAUGUGACUAGAAUAGGAUGAUGCGAUAAAAGGUGCAUGUCCUAUCUAAGCAUCGCUGAUUUCCUAGUGAUAUGCAUAUAAUACAAUUUUUUCUCUCUAUCACUCAAGUGUAAGCAAAGAGAAGUUUCUUGGUAAGUUCAAGGUCGAACUUAGGUAAUUAGAUUUCCAAUUGAAUCUAUCGUGUUGCUAGUCGUAUGUGAUAUAAUCUCUACAGUAAUUGUGCAUUGUUUGUUUAUCCAAAUUAUCUACACUAAGGUGCAACUAACAAUGCAAGAGGAUCACGACAAUGGAGUGCGAUGAAGUACGAACUCACAUUGUAGGAAUGGGAAGAAAUAAUAUUUAAUUAACUAAUCACGAUCUAUUGUGUAUUAAUAUUUCGAGGCGAUACAAAACAUGUAUUAACUUCAAAAUUAAGGAAAGUAUUUUCUCGGCACCUUCGCGAUACAUGCUCGCCUUUUGAGAUCCAAAUACUUGAAGUUAAGCUAUGAUUUGUAUCUAAAUUAGUUUGUAUGCAUCGUAGGUAAGUUAUCUUAAUUUAAGACAAGCAUCUUUUUGGCUCUUUCGCUACACACUUUAAUAUUAGUGCAACUUAUUCGAAGGAUGAAUUCAACGAUGAGAUUGUAUUGCUAAAAUCUCUUUGCCAUUUGUUUAGUUUAAUAGGAUAAAAGUCCUAGGCAGCGAAAAAUUUUACUGAACCAUUUUUCAAUUUAAUUUGAAAAUCCCAAAAUAUCAAUACAUUGAUAAAAUAAUACAGAAACUAAUUUUCUUAUUAUAACUUUAAAGCUAAGCAUGCUUUCUAAUUAUAGAGUAGAGAAAGAAAAACUUACAUAGUUUGACGCCUCUAAAUCUACCAAAAACUCUAAAUUGGGACACCACUCAUAGGAGACCUUCCUAUCCUUUGGGAUGAGAUUGGUUUAUGGGAACCAAUUGGGAUGGAAAAAGUUUUAGAUGCUUGUUUUAACCCAUAAAUGGAUCGAUUCACUUGCAAACGUUUUGCUCCUAACAUUGGGUUUGAACCCCUCUAGGUGAGACAUAAAGAUACUCUUUUCCAGAUUGUCAUUUAGAAAAGUAGUAUAGACAUCUAUUUGUCAUAUUUCAUAAUCAUAAAAAGUGGCUAUGGACACUUUAACAUAGCCUUCCUUUUGGGUCUACCAUUCAUUUUGGGUAUACCCUUUUGCUAUAGGUCUAUACCUUUCUCUUAUAUAUCCAUUUGCACCCUAUAGGUUUCACCCCUUUAGGUAGAUCUACAAGCUUCCACACUGAAUUGAAGUAUAUAGACUCCAUUUCAAGGUCCAUGGCUUUGACCCAUUGGUCCUUGUCUACAUCAUUCAUUGCUUGUUUAUAGGACAAUAGAUCCUCAACGCCAUCAUCUAGUAUGACAAUCUGAGUUUCAGUUAAAUUCAAGUAACAGUUAUGUUGUGAUACAAUCUUUCCACUGCGUCGAGGCAUUCUCAACGAUUGAGAAAGAUGAGACUGACCUGAUGUGUUGGUUUCAUCAACAAUUGAUGAGGGACCAGCUUCAUCAACAACCAUUGUCGAUCAUUUGUUACUUCACUUAAUACUAUUUUUUUGUGGUUUAUGAUCUCUCAUGGGGUCUUCUUCAAAGAAAGUAGUCUUUGUCGAUACAAACACUCUAUUUUACUGUGGAUCGAAGAAUAGACCACCUUUCAUUUUUUUAGGAUAAUCAACAAAUUUAUAUAACCUUGAACGGGGUUCCAACUUUUUGGGAUUUGUCAUUAACACGUGUGUUGGACAAUCCCAAAUUCUGAAGUGACUUAAACUACGUUUAUGUCCUCUUCAUAACUCGAAAGGUGUUUCAAAAACUCUCUUCGAGGGAACAUUGUUCAAGAUAUGAACUGCAGUCUCUAUUGCAUACCCUUAAAAAGAGCUAAGCAAUUGAGCAUAGCUCAUCAUUGAACGAACUAUGUCUAACAAGGUUCUAUUUCUCCUUUUUGAUACAUUAUUUUGUUGAGGUGUACUAGGUGUUGAACGUUAGGAAUGGAUUCCAUGUUCUAUCAUAUAUUCCUAAAAUCUCAAAUCCAUGUACUCUCCACCUCGAUCAGAUUGAAAUAUUUUAAUUUUUUUACUUAAUAGAUUUUCAACUUCAACUUUGUACUCCUUGAACUUUUCAAGAGCUUCACACUUAUGCCUCAUUAAAUAUAAAUAACCAUACCUUAAAUAAUCAUCUAUAAAAGGGAUGAAGUAUUCAAAACCUCCUAUAGCUUUUACAUUCAUCAGACUACAGACAUCUAAAUGUAUAAGUUCUAUGGGGUCUUUGGCUCUAUAACCUUUUUUAGUAAAGGACAUUUUAGUCAUUUGUCCUUCAAGACAAGAUUCACACGAAGACAAUGAAUCAUCUUCUAACUCAUUUAGAAGUCCAUUAUUUAACAAUCUCUCGAUCCUAUCGAGAUUAAUGUGACCUGAUCUUAAAUGCCAAAGAUGGGUAUUGUUAUUAUGAUAAAUUCUUUUCUUUUUAUUUUGAGUAUUAUCAUAUUUAAACAUCUCAUUAUUUAAAAUUGUUUUCGCUUCGUUACGUCUUAAUACAUACAAGUUGUCUUAAAGCUUAGUUGAACAAAUAUGUACACCAUUAUUAGAAAUAAACGCUUCAUUUAAAGAAAAUGUUACAUUAUAUGAUUGUUCAAUAAGACAAUAAAUAUAUAUAAGAUUUCUUUUAAUCUUAGGAACUAUGUGGACGUUUUGUAAAAACAAGAAUCUAUUUUUGAAAGACAGCUUAACAUCUCCCACUACACGAGCUGAAAUGGCAUCUUAUAGAAAUUUAAUUUUGGAUAUGAUUCAAAAUUAAUUUAUUAGAGAUAAAAUAUUUGAAUGACUUCAAAUAUUAAAUAAAUUUAAUGUGAAUUUGAUUCAUAUUAAAAUAUAUUGGUUAUGAGAUAAACUUAUAUUUGAAUAUGAUUCAAAUUUAAUUUCAAUUAGAUAUAAGACAUUUAAUUUAGCCACUAAUUAAUUGGAGAAUUAAUUAAUAGUUUAGUUUUAUUAAAUUAAAUUAAUAUAAAUCUUUAAGAUAUUGGAUAGAUAUUAGUUAAAUAAGAUUUGAAUGAAAUAUUAAUUAAAUAUGAUUUAAUUAAUUAUUAACUAAUUAGUAAAUUUGAAAUUUUUACUAAUUUAAUAUUUUUAUGGAAUCUCAUGAAUCUCUCCAACUUCCUUUUAUACUUCAAGAAGGAAAGACACUUAUAAAUAUAAAACUACAUAGAAUAGCAUUUUGAAAAUAUGAUAUAGCAAAUAUAACACAUUUUUUUAGAAUUUUGCAAAUGUGACAAAAUUUUCACUUAUAAAAAAACUCUUCAUCUUAAAAUUGUUAUUAUUUCUAAACUACCCUUCAAUAACUUAUUUCCUUCCUCUUUUUAAUGCCCUACACAUUAUUUAUUUAUUUAUUUAUUCUCCCACUUUUUUAGGCCCUAAUUAUUUAUUUGUUCUUAUACAAGAAAAAAUAUUUGUUCUUUCUGUCUUAAUCUUGAUUUUAGAAUAUUAAUAGUACAAUAAUUACAAUAUAAAAUAUAAUGGUGUUGUUGAUCAGAGUAAUUUAACUUCAUUUGUAAUUUUUUUUUGUAAUUUUUUUUUUUACUUUAUUUUAUAUGUAUUUUGAGUUGAAUCUGAUUUCAAAUGAUUUUGCUUUUAUUUUUUUUGCAUUGAUUUUGUUUUGGUUUUACUUUAUCUUAGUUUUGUAUACCAGGGUUGUGAUAUACUUAUAUUAUAUGUAUUAGUUGGUUGAUAUACUUACUACGUGGUUUUCAUUUUUUCUUUCAAAUUUUAUGCACUUCAUUAUAGUAUUAUUAGGUAUAUGAAUGAUAUAACUCAGUGUAUCUUUAUCAAGUAUAUCAACAAAAUAUUGUUAAAGCAUAUCAGCAAAGUGAAUCAUUAACAAGUAUAUGAAUCAAGUUUAAAAGUGUAUAUCAAUAGUAUAUCAAGUGUAUAAGUAGGACUUCAAGCAUAUCAAGUGUAUUUAAUGAAUCAAAUGUAUAAGUAAAGAAUACUAAUUAAGUAUAUUUUCACAACGCAUCGGAUUUAUCAAAUAUAUCAUGUACAUCAAACAUAUCAAAUUUGUCUAGUAUACCAAUGAAGCAUAACAAGUUUAUUACUGGUGUAUCAAGUGUAUCAAACUUAUAAGAGAAGCCUUUAAGUGUAUCAAAUUAAUCAAGUGUAUCAAGUGUAUCAAGAAGAUUAAAAUAUAAUGAGGAGUAUAAUGUGUAUCAAGAUGUUUUAGGUGUGUAUCAAAAUGUUUUAGGUGUGUAUCAAAAGCUAUCGAGUGUAUCAAAAAGUAUUAGGUGCAUCAAGUGUAUUUAUCAAAUGUAUCAAGUGUAUCGGCAAGAUGUAUCAAGGGUAUUAGGUGUAUCAUAUGUGUAUAAGGUUUAUUAAAUAUAUAUCAGUAACGAGGGCAUUUGUGACAUUUUACCUCUUGAUGUGUGGGUUGGGCUUUGUUUUUGCAAUUUUUGCAAAUAAGAAAAUAUGUGUGUUAUGGACUUAAUUAUUAUAACUUGUUUUACAAUUUUUACAAGUGUCUCUUAUAAAUAUCUAGAAGAAAACAGUUUUCUUCAACGAAUUAAUAAAAAAAAGUCAUUGCUUUUGCUAUCUGGAAAAAGAAAAUAGUUUCUCUCUAAACCUUUUUCUAACCAAAUUAGUUCCCACAAACCAAUCUCAUCCCAUAUGAUAUGAAGGUCUCUGAUGGGUGGUGUCCUAAUUUGGAGAUUCACUGUAGAUUCAAAGACAUAAACAAGUAAUUUUUAUUUCUCUAAUCUAUAAUUAGAAAGCAUGCUUAGCGUUUAAAUCUUAAUGAGAAAACUAGUUUCUUAAUUAUUUUUGUCAAUGUACUAGUAUUUUGGGAUUCCCAAAUUAAAUUGAGUAAUGGUUCUGUAAAGUCUUCCACUGUCAUAGGGCUUUUAUCCCUUCAGCUUUAAUAUUAAUUUCCUGUGUUCGACCUUGGAUCACCUAAGUAAACUGAAUGCUUCGCUUAUACUUGGACAAGCAAUAGAAAAACUUGCACUUUAUGGACUUAGAAGUAGGUUGUCGAGACAUUGCGAGUAUUUUGCAUGCAAUGAUCAUUUCAACUCGCAUGAUGAAGAGAAUGUUGGAGAGCAUUUUGCAUGCAAUGAUCUGUAUUCAAUGACAUGUCAUCACACCACAAACCAAACAACCAAACAGUCAUUCUAUAAUAAGUAUGUAUGCCUUGACUAGAGGCAAGUCUUUGAGAAUAUUUUUCUUAGAGACAACACAACAUAUUUCACAAUAAGUCCCAUGAAACAUAAUCCCAAUUUCAAAACAAUCACAUCCAAAAUCAUUACAUCUUGGGAGAGUGUUUCAUGAAAGCAAGAUUAGCAAAACACCAAGCACUUUCCCUUAUUGUAAAAGGCAAAAAUUAGAGCCAAUGAGUAUGCGAAAUCAUACUCAGCAGCUUGCCUCAUCUUCUUGUACCUUCAUUUGUUGUUUAUUUGUUUGUAUUUGUAAUGUAAGCUUCAUGGCCGAAAGGCCUAAAGCUUUAGCUAUGAAUGCAAUACAUUUCUACUUCCAUUUUUUCAUUUUCUUAUCUUGCCAUUUCAUUUAAGUCUAUGUAAUUAGGGGUAAAUAAUGUAAGGCAUAAUUAAUGUUAGGGAACCUGGAUGUCUGCGUUAAUUAUUUGUCUUGUUUAGUCAAAUGCGGUCAUUAAUGUUUUGUUUUAUUCAAGAGAAAAGUUAAAGUGUUAACUAUUGUCAAUUGACGCAUGAUGAUUUUGAUUUAUCUAAACAGAUGACAAAAGGGUUGUACCGAUGCAAUCUUGUAGCCAAACUCUCAUUUGUAGCAUACAUAUAAAAAAUGUGAGUGCAUGCAACAAAGACAUCGAGAGGUUGCUUCCUUUAAUAUAGGAUGAGUUGCUUAUAAUUAAUUCAAAAAGAUUAUAUACAAAUUAUUUAUUAAUUUUAAGUAUUUGGAUGUCGAAAGGGGAGCAAAGAUGACAAAGGCCUUGAGAGGUUGCUCACUUUAAUUAAAUCUUAAGUUAACAAAUGUUUUGUAUCGUGUUAACAUGUUAGAUAUCCUUGCUUUAUAUUUAAUUAGUUACAUAUUUCUACAUUUCAUCGCCAAUUACAUGAGUUCCUAUUUCAUUUCAUUGCCAUCUCCAUCUUGCUGCUCCAUGGCACUUAGUGUAAAUAUAUAGGACAAAAUUAUAUUGUGCCUAUUAAUAGACUGUAUAGAUACCACGUGAGUUAGAACACAUGAUUAACCUAUUAAGAUUAUUAUAUUCCUAUGGUCGACCCUGGCUUACCCAGAAAACCUCUUUUCGCUUAUACUCGGGCAAGAGAGGAAAUUUGUACUCAAAAUAAUGAAUUAACGAAGUCAACAACGUAUAGGUAGGAUUGUACUGUUCCUUUUAUCACAUGACCCUAACCUAAUCACCAUUUCUAGUGGCAUGCUUAGAGCCCAAGACAUAUUCACGAAUUGAUGUUGUAAUUAAACAAACAAGCAUAAAGCUUAAUGCAAUUAGUUUGAUUUGAAUUGGCAUGAAUUUCAUUGAAUUAGGCUAGUUUGAUUCUUCCGACAAUUUAGUUAGCUUUUUUAAUUGAAAUUGUUAGGGGUAGUCAAUGAAUUCUAUUUAGUAAUGAAAAUCCCAUGAGCAAAUUGAUGCUUUGAAUAAAGUGAAUCAAUUAACCAGAUAGGAUCUUUUGACUAUUGAAUUUAUACUUGAAUUUACAUGGUUUUAUGCAAAUUUACAUUCUUUGAAAUGAAAAAUAUCUGAAACCCCUUUGAUAUCCUUGGGUUGUUUACUAUUUACUUGGGACAUUUACUCUGUUCGACCAAGGCUUGCAACUAAGACUAGUUCUUGUGGAGUGUUUUGGUCAAAUUAUUUAAUCUGGAUUUUGGCAACGAAAUUCAUCUCGACAUGAUUCAAGUAAUUUUGACACAUUCAUCAUUCUUCUUUCCUUUAAGUUUUUACUGUUUAUUAGAGUAAUCUUCUUGCUACAUAAAUCAAACACUUGACAUGCUUCUAGAUGUCUUACCAGAAGUCAGGAUCUUAUCUAAGGACUUCAAGCAUGCUAGAGUUCAAAAUCCUGACAUUCUUAACUGCAGAGUCUUUCUCAACUCAAAUUUGAUUGAGUUUUUGCUUAAGUUCAGCAAUGGUAGACACGAGCCCGUGAUUAUUAUGCAUAAGAGACUUAGUUCUCUUCUUUUGAACAUUUAGAGUUUUCAAGUUUUCUUGACAUCUCUUUUAGAGGGUUUGAUAAGCUGAUAAAUCUUAAUCAACGAACUUGGCUUUGCAUACUUUUUUUUGCUCAAUGACCAUCCAUCAGCAUAGACAUUGAACUCUAAAUUUACCAAACAAGUGUCUGAUGUGAUGUUGCUAACAAAUGCCUUAACAUCUCCAUUAGAGUCACUAUUGUUGAACUUAUUGCCUUACAUGGUUGAUGCAUUGCCUUUGAUUUGCUUUUUUAAAAAGUUUGGACAUUCUUGAAAGUGCCUAAAUCAUUCACAUUCUUUACACCUAAAAAUUUUUUGUAAAGAAGAAUUAGACAUACCUAAUUUGUCAGGGUCCGUCUUGUAAGGCUACAUUUUGGAAAACUUGUGAAAAUAUCCAGCACAAGUUUUGUUCUCAUUGAGAUUAGCAAAAUUAGGCUUCUCACCAUACUGUUUAAGUACACGAUUGAAUUGUUUCAACAAUAGCAAUGGACUCAACAUGAGUGUCGUCAGAAUCUUAACAGGCACUUGAUGUUUCUCUUUUAUCACAGAGUAGAAAGAAAUUCCCUUUUUCUUCUUUUCAGAUGUACCUAAGAACAUUUCAAAGGUUGACAAUGAUCUGAAUAGUUCAUCCACCUUCGCAAUGAAGCUAUGUUUUGAGAUUCUUCCAUUUUGUUGUCACUUUUACAUCAUUCCUUGGGAAUCUUCUCCUCCAAGGCAAACAAUUCAUCUGCAAUAUCCAACAAAACAAAUGUUGAACUUAAUAAUAGUUUCAUCAUCAUGCAAUCUGGGAGACUCAAAUUUAGAUAAUUCGUAGUUGGAGUCUUGACAUCUUCACCUUGGAGGUAUCUUCAUGCACAACAAUCAAGACCUCCCUUGCUUCCUUAAACACAUGUGUGAAUAAGUCUGAUGUCUACACCAUUAAAUAUUGACAUAAAAUAGUGUAAAGUUUCCCACAGAUGCUUCAUCUUCUACUUUGAUCAACUAAAACUCUUGUUCUAGUUUCUUUUUUUUUUUUCAAUUUAGUUUUCUAGUGGAAUGCCACCGACCAUAAAUAAUUGCUUUCCAUGUUUGUUAUCAAUUGACUUUUGAAAGUCAAUUGUUCAUGCUUUCCAGUAGGAGUAAUUAGUUUUAUCAAGAACUAGGGGGCAAGUGUUGGGAUCCACCUUCUUUGUGUUAGAAAUUAAUAAGCUAGAUACAUUAUGGAUAACACAUUAAUAGAUACAUUUUGUGUCUUUUAGGAAGUGUCUCUUGAGUACUAUAUAUAGAGAUCAUUUCCUUCAUUUAUAUGCAAGAUAAAAGAAUCAAAUCAAUAGAAGCAAAUCGAGUUUUAGAAAGUAAGUGAGUUUCAAGAGAACAAUAUUCUUCUCUUGUGUGUUAUUGAGUUUUCUAAGAGAACAAGUUUCUUCUCUUAAAAGUUUGUGAGAUUUAGGGUAAAUUUAGAGUGGGCUCGUCAACGCCUCCAACAAAGUGGUAUUAGAGCAAGGAUUGAAAGAUGUCAUCUAACAUGUUGCAGCCUCAACUUCCUCGCUUUGAGGGGAAAACUAUAGGCGGUGGAGCCAGCAAAUGAAGGUUAUUUAUGGAUCUCAAGAUCUUUGGGAUAUUGUUGACAACGAAUAUUGAGAGUCAGAAAGUGAGAAUGGUCUUUCAGCACAACAACUCAAUGAGUUGAGAGAUGCUAGAAAAAAGGAUAAGAAGACAUUAUUUUUCAUCUACCAAGUUGUGGAUGAAAAUAUUUUCGAAAGAAUAUCAAGAGUCUCUACUGCUAAAGCAGCAUGGGAUGCAUUGCAAAAUUUGUAUGAAGGAGAAGAAAAGGUAAAAUUAGUCCAAUUACAAACACUUUGAGCUGAAUUUGAUACAAUUCGAAUGAAAGAUGCCGAAACUAUUGAAGAAUAUUUCAACCGUGUUCUCUUAAUUGUUAAUCAAUUGAGAUCAAAUGGAGAAACAAUUGGAUCCUUAGAAGCAUGACUAGAAAAUAUGAGCAUAUUGUUGUAGCAAUUGAAGAAUCCAAAGAUUUGUCAACUCUCUCUAUAAAUAGCUUAAUGGGAUCUCUUCAAUCUCAUGAUCUCAGAUUGAAGAUGUUUUGAUUCUACUCCUUCAGAAAGCUUUUCAUAUGCAGUCCUCCAAUAGAGGUCGAUCCAAUGGAAGAAGAGGUGGAUGUGGUGGUAGAGGCAAUGGACGAUCCAGUGUUGUAACAAAUACAGAGUCAGAAAGCAGAGACAAUCAAUCUUUUUCAAAUAGAGGACGGGGAAGAAGUUCAAAUAGAGGAAGAGGUAUAAGUGGUGGUCGUGAAGAUUUUUCUCACAUACAAUGUUUCAAUUGUAGACAUUAUGGACAUUUUCAAGCAGACUGUUGGUCUAAGAAGAUCAACUCUGUGAAGCAUGUGUUUUCGGAAAGCAUCAUCGAAAUUCAUUUUCGACUGGAGGUUCUUGGAGAGCAUCAAAGCCACUUGAGCUUGUUCAUACAGACUUAUGUGGACCAAUGAGAACUACCACAUGGAGGUAAUCGUUAUUUUCUCACAUUUAUUGAUGACUACAGUCGAAAAACAUGGAUUUAUCUACUAAAAGAAAAGAGUGCUAUUUUCGAAUGUUUCAAGACAUUCAAAGCAAUGGUGGAAAAUGAAAGUAACUUGAAAUUGAAAUCAUUACGUUCGGAUCGUGGAGGAGAAUAUAUUGUUUUUGUAGAUUUCUUGAAGGAAAAUGAAAUCAAGCAUCAAAAGACUGUUUGAAGAACUCCUCAACAAAACAGAGUUUCAGAGAGGAAAAAUAGAAUAAUAAUGGAACUUGCAAGAAGUAUGUUGAAGUUGUAGAUACCGUAUUUUGUCCUAUAUUUAUUUAUUAUAAAAGAAAAAAGAAAAAGAAAAAGAAAUUAAAUUUGAAUUUGAAUUUGAAUUUGAAUUUGAAUUUGAAUCUUAAAUUUAUAUUUAAAAAAAACAAUAAUAAUAAUAAUAAAUACAUUUAAAAAUAAAUAAUAAAAAUAAAACUAAAAGGUUUGAUUUCCUUCCUAUUUUUUCUCAACCAUCCCUUUUUCUUCGUCAUCACUCUCCCACUUUCUCCCACUCUAUCACUUUCUCCCACUCUCCCACUUUCUUCCUAUUUCUCUGUAAUCUGCACUCCAUCUCGUGAUCUAAAAAAAAGCAAUGGAGCUUGCCCUAUAAAAAGGAAAGAGGAAAAAGAAAACAGGGGAUCUUUUUUUUAUUAUUGGAGGAUUUAGAAAGAGGGGAAGAGUGAAAGAAGAUCAAAAAGGAAUAACCUUUGGCAUUGAAGGGAAGAGUGAAAGAAGAUCAAAAAGGAAUAACCUUUGGCAUUGAAGGGCAGACCUGCUGGUAAGUUUUUUUUUCUUUUUCCUCUUUUUAUUCUUAUUCUUGUUUAAUGAUUUUUUUUUUUUCUUCUUCUUGUUUGAUAUUCUUGUUUGGCAUCUGUGUUAAUUUCUUUUUAAUUAAUUAGCAUCAUAUAUUUGUAUUUGGAUACUCAUUCUUCAUUGACACCCAUUUUACAGUUAAUUACUUAUUACUUAUAUCCAUAUGGCAUCCUUAAUAAUUAUGCAUAAUUAAUCAAUUAGCCUUUUGUAUUUGGUAAUACUCAUUCUUCAUUGGCAUUCAUUUUACAGUUUUUGUUAAUUACUUUAUCCAUGUAUCCAUAUGGGUAGGCAUACCCUGUUAAUAAUUACUGUUAUCCAUAUAUUAUCCAUGUUAAUAAUUAUGCGUGAUAUAAUUAAUAUUUGGCAACAACCAUUUUUCAUUUGGCCUAUUAAUUAAUUAGCAACUUGUAUGUGACAUUUUCACUCCCUCAUUCUAAUUAUUUGCAUGAUGUAUUAAUUAAUCAGUAUGCAUAUGUGGCUAUAAUUAUUUGAUAUUUAUUUGGUGUGAUUAUUUAUUCGCAAUAUUAUUUAUUUGUAUAUUGGGCCAAACCUACUUUAGCAUUCAACUGUUAAUUAUUAUUUGAUAUCCAUUUGGCCUCGUUUAAUUAUGCAUUAAUCAAUUAUUUUGCAUCCUGCAUUAAUCAAUUAUUUUGCAUCAUUUUGAAUUAAUUAAUUAUGUUGCAUAUGUUGUAUUAAUUAAUUAUCUUGCAUCCUACAUUAAUAUCUUUUACAUUUUGCAUAUAUUAUCAAUGUAUUUAUUUUAUCUCAGCAUAUUACACCUAAGUAUUUUUCAAAUUUCAUAAUGUUUUGUCAUUGUUAUUAUUUUUUUUAUAAUAAUGUAAAUUGGAGAAAAAGUAUUGUUUUUUAUGGAUUUUAUAAUUUAAAAUCCAUAAAUACAUGAAAUUUUUCCGUUUGAAAUUUAAUUAAUAGAUUUUUUUUUUUAAAUUAACACAUUUCAUAUUUUAAAUGAGACUGAGUAGUAUUUUCUAUGAAUUUAUUAAUUCUAGAUAUAUGAAAUUUUUCAUUAAACACCUAUGAUAGAGAUUAAAAUAUCAAGUGUUGGUAUCUUAAUAUUCUUAAGGUGAAUAAAAAUAUUUUAAAACAAAAAUAAACUUAAUUUUUCUAAUGGCUCCUAUGCCACUCAUAAUCAUCAAUUCAUGCUUAGUUUUUACUUUCUUCGAUAUGAAUUGAUAAACAUGGGACAUUUAAACAAAACCUAAAUAAAAUUUUAUUUUGUGAACCUUUAUAAUUUAAUUUAAAAGAUAAAAUUGGGUAACCAUUUUUUUGGGUGUUGUAGGGUGCUAACACCUUCCCUACACAUAACUGACUCCCGAACUUAAAUCUCUGAAUGUACGCAGACCAUUUUUUUUUCUUUCUUUUUUUUGGGUGACCAAUCACACCUUAAUAUGAUUGGUGGCGACUCCAAAAUUUUUUAUUAAAAUAAAAUAAACGGGGAGGUCGGCCGCUCCGCGUAGCGAUCACGUCGCGACAGCUUGGCGACUCCGCUGGGGAUAUUGCAAUGUGUAAGAGAGUCAAGCCAGCACAUUUUUAUCUUUUAUUCUUAUUAUAUUAUAAUAUGUUGGUUCACUUAAUUAUUUGUUUUUUUUAUUGAUUCAUAUGUAAUAUUCUGUACUAUGUUAUUGAUACAUUUUUUUUUAUGCCAGCAUGCAUUUACACACACUCACAAGCCCUCUACCCGGGCCACAACCUUAUAGGACUAGAAUUGAGGAUGGAGUAGUGUUGACUUUCGAAGGGUUUCGACUCUCGUGUAGGCACAUGAAAAAUCCUCGCUCAGAUUAAUUCUUUUGUUAUUUCUUAAAUAACAUUAGAAAGUUUGAGGGCCUUUUAACUUAUAAGAGUUUAGAUAAUACCAACACCAUGUCAUUUUCUUUUUGACAUAUUUUAUCCAAAAGUCAACUAUUCAAAUUAUUUUUAUUUAUUUAUUUUAACAAAGUUUCACAUUUUCCUAAAAUUUUAAAUAAUACAUAUUUCAUUUUUUUAAAAAAAGAAUUUCAAUAAUAGUAUUUUCUAUAUUAUUAUUAUUUUGAGUUUGAUAUUUAAAUUUUAUUUAUCUUAGUUCCCUAGAAUUUGGGUCAUUUGGCUUCAUGCAUAGUUUAAAGAAAGUAAUGUUUACAUUGUAGAGGUACAUGAAAACCUUUAUAUUUUCUAAAAUUAACUAAAUAUUAAAAAACAAUUAAGCUAAAGUACAUAAAAUUCUUAUUUCUUUCAUUUUCAUGUUUUUUCUUUCUUUUUGAUUUUUGAUUUUUGAUUUUAAAUUUUUAAUUUUAAAUUUUAAAUUUUUAAUUUUAAAUUUUAAAUUUUAAAUUUUAAAUUUUAAAUUUUAAAUUUUUCUUUCUCUUUCUUCCCUUGCUCUUUAGUCUUCAAAGUUUUCAAAAUAGUCAAAGUAAAACAUAGCUCACCCUACUCCAAUUCAUCAUCCUUACAAUACGAUGCAUAAAAGUCGAAUCAUGGAAGAACAAGAUAAAGACAUGGAUAAAAUGAGACAAGAUAUUAAUAGUCUUGGGGAACAAGUUUCAAAAAUACUGGAAUUGCUUUCAGUAGGAAAAGAAAAAGUCGUCAUAGAAACAGCACAAUCAAGUAAUCCGGUUCAAGACACCGAUGAUCCCAUUUAUCCCCCAGGAUUUACGCCACGCCACAUGAACGCUACACAGUCUCAAACCGCUCAACAUUAUGUUGCUAUGAAUCCACUUUUUGAUGUUCCACCUCCUGUCCCAGAUAUAGAACAAUUGGAAACUCAGGCUAAAAUUCAAGACAUGGGGCAAAAUGAAAACACUCCGGCUAAGCAAAAACUAGAUGUUUUGGAAGAAAGAUUGCGAGCAAUUGAAGGGACUGAUGUUUAUGGAAAUAUAGAUGCAACACAGUUGUGUUUAGUACCGGGUUUGAUCAUUCCAACAAAGUUUAAAGUUCCCGAAUUUGACAAAUAUGAUGGAUCAUCGUGUCCAAGGAGUCAUCUUAUAAUGUAUUGUAGAAAGAUGGCAGCGCAUAUUGGUAAUGACAAAUUGUUGAUCCAUUGCUUUCAGGACAGUUUGACUGGUCCAGCUACUCGAUGGUAUAUUCAAUUAGAUAAUGCACACAUUCAUGUUUGGAAGGAUUUAGCUGAUGCAUUUCUAAAGCAAUACAAACAUAAUAUUGAUAUGGCUCCAGAUCGUUUAGACUUACAACGGAUGGAGAAGAAAAGUUCAGAAAGCUUUAAAGAAUAUGCUCAACGAUGGAGAGAUAUAGCCGCAGAGGUUCAACCACCAUUAACAGACAAAGAAAUGACAUUUAUGUUUAUGAAUACUUUGCGGGCGCCGUUCUAUGAUCGAAUGAUUGGUAAUGCUACAACCAAUUUUUCUGACAUUAUUGUUAUUGGUGAAAGAAUUGAAUAUGGGAUAAAACAUGGGAGGUUAAUAGAGACUUCAGCUGAGUAUGGUGGAUUAAAGAAAGGAGCAACACCUAAGAAGAAAGAAGGUGAGGUUCAUGCAAUUGGUUUUCCUAAUUUAGGGAACCACAAAUCAACUUUUGGCCAAAGAAAACAUGACCAAAGUUUUCCUUCAUAUAUAAGCAAUGUUACUCAUAUCCCUUAUAACAACUAUGUACCAACCCACUCUCCCUCUGGAGCCCCAAAACUUGUAAAUUCAAACUUUUCUCGACCGUUUGUACAAGGUCAGGGUAGCAAGACCAACUCAGAAACAUUUCGAUUUGACCCAAUUCCUAUGACAUAUACAGAGCUUUUACCUCAGCUAGUUCAUAAUCGACAGUUAGCUCCUAUCCCAAUAAAUCCUAUACAACCUCCUUAUCCAAAAUGGUAUGAUCCAAAUGCUCGAUGUGAUUAUCAUGCCGGAGGAGUGGGACACUCAACUGAAAAUUGUUUAGCUUUGAAAAGGAAGGUGCAAUCUUUAAUUAAUGCUGGAUGGUUGAGCUUCAAAAAAGCUGGGGAGAAGCCGGAUGUCAACAACAAUCCACUUCCUAAUCAUGAAAAUUCAAAAGUGAAUGCGAUAGAUUGUUUUGUUGGAAAGUGUAAAAAUGAAGUUCAUGAGAUAAGGAUGCCUAUGGAAACACUUUUUGAAGGUCUUUUUGAAGCAGGAUAUGUUAGUUUGGAGUAUUUAGACCCCAAUAUAAGAUACGAAGGAUACGAUGAAGGCAAACGUUGUAUAUUCCAUCAAGGAGUUGCAGGCCAUCCUAUCCAACGAUGUUGUACAUUUAGAUCUAAAGUACAACAAUUUAUGGAUUCGAAGAUACUCACAGUAUACGAAGGACAAGGAAAAGAUGAGAUGAAAGACAAUAAAAUAUGUACAUUAAUGGGUGAAGUUGCAAAAAAGGAAAAUCCCUUUUUACCAAGGCCUUUGACAGUCUUUUAUCAAGAAAAUCGUAAUAAAUCAAGUUCUUGCAAUCCUAAACAACUCAUUGUCGAAGUACCGAGUCCUUUCAAAUUUAAGGAUUUGAAAGCGGUGCCAUGGCGGUAUGAUUGCCAAGUCAUUACAGGUCCUUCAGUUGAUAAUAUUACAGGAAUCAGCGGGAUAACUCGAAGUGGAAGAUGUUAUAAACCAGAUAAUUUAACAGCUCCUUCAAGUAGUUUAACAUUGGGGCAAGGGAGGAAAAGUGAGAAAAGAAAUGUGAAUGAACAUGACAAAGAGCAGGAUGUAGAGAUGUCUGUCACAGCAAAAGAUAUAGAAUGCAAAAAACCUGUUACAGAUGAGGCAGCAAACGAAUUCUUGAAAAUAGUAAAACAAAGUGAGUAUAAGAUUAUAGAGCAAAUGCAUAAUACUCCAGCUCGAAUUUCUUUAUUAUCUUUGUUUUUAAAUUCAGAGCCUCAUCGCAAAGUGCUAUUAGAUAUUUUGAAUAAGGCACAUGUUGGACAUGACAUUUCAGUGGAAAAGUUCAGCGGAAUUAUUGGAAGCAUUACGUCUUCAAAUUCUAUAGUCUUCACGGAUGAUGAAAUUCCCCCUGAAGGUGUAGGCCAUAUAAAAGCACUGCAUAUUCAAGUGAAGUACAAGGAUUAUGUUAUAGCAAGAGUUUUAGUGGAUAACGGUUCAGCUCUUAAUAUAAUGCCUAAAUCUACACUAUUAAAGCUCCCAGUGGACAUGUCAUACAUCAAAUCAAGUACUAUGGUAGUGAGAGCUUUUGAUGGAUCACGAAGAGAAGUAAUUGGUGAUAUUGAAUUACCAAUCAAAAUUGGCCCAUGUACUUUCAAUAUAGUCUUUCAAGUAAUGGAGAUAACACCUACUUACAGCUUUUUGUUAGGUCGUCCUUGGAUUCACUCUGCAGGAGUGGUGCCAUCUACAUUGCAUCAAAAAUUGAAAUUUAUUGUUGGGAGUAAGAUGAUUUGUUUAAUGGGAGAGGAAGAUUUUCUGAUAACAAAACCGAUAUCAACCCCAUAUGUGGAGGCAACAGAAGAAGCUUUAGAGUGUUCUUUUCGCUCUUUUGAAAUUGCUCAUGCAACUAUGAUGGAAGCAACUGCAGGUGAAGUAAUAAAGUCACACAUGCCUAAAGUUACGACAAAAAGGAUGAUGAGAAGUGGAGGAUAUGGUUUGAAUCAAAGCUUGGAAACACUUCUAAAUACACCAAGCAAUGAAGGGAGAUUUGGUUUGGGUUAUAUGCCAAACGUAUAUGAUAAAAUUAGGCUUCAAAAAGAAAAGAAGAAAAGGUGUUUGGAAAAGCAAGGGAUGAUGGUGUUUGAUCCAAGUCUAAAAUUUAUACCAGCAUUAUAUGAUACUUUCAAGAGUGCUGGUAUAAGUUACUCAUCACGUGACUCUGAUUCAAAACAUUGUUUGUUAACAAAGAUGGAGAGUUUAUCAAUUGCAGCAGUGGCACAAGAAGCAUCAUUUGAAGAUGAAACAGUUUAUGCAUGUCCACCUAAUUUUGAGCUUAACAAUUGGGAUGUUGUAGACCUACCUACAUUUUCUGGAGAUUUUCAAGAGUAAUGAUUAAACUUUUAUUUGUUUUAAUUUUCUAGUUGGUUCUACUUAAGGCCACAGUAUUUUGUUUGCUUUACAAAAUGGAAUGUACUUUUUUUUUUCCUCUUUCUUGUUAUUUAAUGAAAUUUUCGCAUUUUCCUUUCAUUCUUUCUAAUUUCUUCUUCUCUCUGCUUUCUUUCUUGCAUCUUGCAAAUUAAACACAAAAGUCCAAACUUUUUCAUAGACAACAUUCAUAAGAACGAAGAUGUUAGUAAUUCCAGUUCUACCCUUGAUACCUUAAUAUACACUAUGGAAUCUGACAAAGAGAGUGACGAUGAAAAUGCUGGGAGAAUAUCCUCAGAACUGUUAAGAUUAGUAGAAGAAGAAGAUAAGGUCUUAGGUCCUCACCAAGAGCUAGUUGAAGUAAUCAAUUUGGGUUCUCAGGAGGAAUCAAAAGAGGUAAAAAUUGGCACAUCAAUGACCAGUGAAACUCGAAAAAAAAUAAUCAAUUUGUUACGUGAGUACUCAGAUAUUUUUGCUUGGAGUUAUCAGGAUAUGCCGGGGUUAAAUACGGAUAUUGUAGUACAUCGUGUUCCUUUGAAGCCAGAAUGCAAUCCAGUAAGACAAAAGCUACGUAAAAUGAAGCCUGAUAUAUUGAUUAAAAUGAAAGAGGAAGUACAAAAACAAAUUGAAGCAGGAUUCCUCAUAGUCUCCAAAUAUCCUGAAUGGGUGGCAAAUAUUGUUCCAGUACCUAAAAAAGACGGAAAAAUGAGAAUGUGUGUGGACUAUAGAGAUUUAAAUCGAGCUAGUCCAAAAGAUAACUUCCCUUUACCUCACAUCGACAUGUUGGUGGAUAACACUGCAGGAUAUUCAACUUUCUCCUUCAUGGAUGGUUUCUCAGGAUAUAAUCAAAUCAAAAUGGCUGAAGAAGAUAGAGAAAAAACAACAUUCAUUACCCUUUGGGGAACAUUUUGCUACAAAGUAAUGCCUUUUGGUUUGAAAAAUGCCGGGGCAACAUAUCAGCGAGCAAUGGUUACACUUUUUCAUGAUAUGAUGCAUAAGGAAAUAGAGGUGUAUGUUGAUGAUAUGAUUGCAAAAUCCAAGGCAAAUGAAGAUCAUACAACUAUACUUCAAAAAUUAUUCGAUCGGUUGAGAAAGUAUCAAUUGAAAUUAAAUCCAUCCAAAUGUACAUUUGGGGCAACCUCGGGAAAACUGUUGGGAUUCAUUGUCAGUGAAGAAGGGAUCAAAGUAGACCCAGAUAAAGUGAAGGCUAUCAUGGACAUGCCAUCCCCUGAAACGGAAAAAGAAGUUCGAGCCUUUCUUGGAAGACUGAAUUACAUAUCCAGAUUUAUCUCACAUUUGACCCCAACUUGCGAACCAAUCUUCAAGCUUUUACGUAAAAAUAAUCCAGGAAAAUGGAAUGAGGAUUGUGAAGAAGCUUUCAACAAAAUUAAGCAAUAUCUACAAAGCCCACCUGUAUUGAUACCUCCAGCUCCAGGACGGCCGUUAAUCCUAUACUUGACGGUUUUAGAAGGUUCUAUGGGUGGUGUUCUAGGACAACAUGACUUAUCAGGAAAGAAAGAGCAUGCUAUUUAUUAUUUAAGCAAAAAAUUCACCGAUUAUGAGUCGAAAUACUCAAUGUUAGAGCGAACUUGUUGUGCUUUGGUAUGGACCGCUCACCGUUUGAGGCAAUAUAUGUUAUAUCAUACGACAUGGCUUAUUUCAAAAAUGGAUCCAAUAAAAUACAUUUUUGAGAAACCGUCAUUAUCUGGUAGAAUUGCAAAGUGGCAAGUUUUGUUGUCAGAGUAUGAUAUUGUUUAUGUUACUAAAAAAGCAAUAAAGGGAAGUGCGCUUGCUGAUCAUUUAGCUGCCCAACCAGUAGCAGAUUACGAGCCAAUGAGCGUUGAUUUUCCUGAUGAAAACAUAUUUUUAGUUGAAAAUGAUGCUACGGAUCAUGAGACUUGGAUUAUGCUUUUUGAUGGUGCCUCAAAUGAGUUGGGACAUGGGAUUGGAGUUGUACUAAUUUCCCCAAAAGGAAAGGUAUUUCCCCUAACAGCUAAGUUAUGUUUUGAAUGCACUCACAAUAUCGCUGAAUAUGAAGCUUGUAUUAUGGGACUUCAAGCAGCAAUCGACAUGAGUGUUAAAAAGUUGAAAGUUUUGGGUGACUCAAUGCUAGUAAUACAUCAAGUCAAGGAAGAAUGGGAAACAAGAGAUGCUAAAUUGGUUCCUUAUAGCCAAUACAUUGCAAAAUUAUCUCAAAAUUUUGAGAAAAUUUCAUUUGACCAUGUUCAUAGGGAAGACAAUCGAAUGGCAGAUGCAUUAGCCACCCUGGCAGUCAUGUUUAAUCUUAAUCUUGAGUAUGAGCUUUAUCCAAUCCAAAUUACGAAAAGAGAUGCGUCGGCAUAUUGCAUGAAUAUUGAAAAUGACAACAAGCCAUGGUAUUUUGAUAUCAAGCAAUACAUAAAGUGUAGAGAAUAUCCAUAUGGAGCUUCAAAGAAUGACAAACGCACAAUAAGAAGGUUGGCCAUGAACUUUUUCUUAAGUGGUGAAGUUCUUUAUAAAAGAAACCAUGAUAUGGUACUCCUUCGGUGUGUUGAUGUGGAAGAAGCAAAACAAAUUAUGAUAGAAAUUCAUGAAGGAAUAUGUGGAACACAUGCUAACGGACAUACUAUGGCCAGACAAAUACUUAGAUCUGGUUAUUAUUGGACAACGAUGGAAUCAGACUGCAUAAAAUAUGCAAGAGAAUGUAAAAAGUGUCAAAUUUAUAUGGAUAGGAUUCAUGCAGCAGCAUCUCCAUUGCAUGUCUUGUCAGCACCAUGGCCAUUUUCUUUGUGGGGAAUUGAUGUUAUUGGACCCAUUGAUCCUAAAGCCUCAAAUGGUCAUCGUUUUAUUCUUGUAGCCAUUGAUUACUUCACUAAAUGGAUAGAGGCGGCAUCUUACUGCAAUGUUACAAGAGGAGUGGUACUCAAGUUUAUCAAAAAAGAGUUGAUCUGUCGUUAUGGUCUACCAGAGGGUAUUAUUACAGAUAAUGCCAAGAACCUUAAUAACAAAAUGAUGGACGAACUUUGUGAGAAAUUCAAGAUCAAUCACAGAAAUUCGACUCCAUAUCGCCCCAAGAUGAAUGGGGCAGUUGAAGCAGCCAACAAAAAUAUUAAAAGAAUUAUUGAGAAGAUGACAACAACAUACAAAGAUUGGCAUGAAAUACUACCGUUUGCAUUGCAUGGAUAUCGCACAUCAGUUCGUACUUCAACAGGGGCAACACCAUUUUCUUUGGUUUAUGGUAUGGAAGCUGUCCUACCUUUAGAAGUUGAGAUACCUUCAUUGAGAGUUCUCAUGGAAGCUAAGUUAGAUGAAGCUGAAUGGAUAAGAGGUCGUUAUGAGCAGUUGAAUUUCAUUGAAGAAAAACGUUUGACAGCAUUAAGUCAUGGACAACUUUACCAAAAAAGACUAAUGCGAGCAUACAAUAAAAAGGUACACCCUCGAAGUUUUCGAGAAGGAGAUUUAGUGUUAAAAAGGAUACUUCCAUUUCUAAAGGACCAUCGAGGAAAAUGGACUCCUAAUUAUGAAGGUCCGUUCAUGGUAAAAAAGGCAUUUUCAAGAGGAGCUUUACUUUUAACCAAUAUGGAUGGUUUUGAGUUAAAAAAUCCGGUGAAUUCAGAUUAUGUUCGAAGAUACUAUGCGUGAGCCCUUUUCAUAGAAAACUUCGUAGUGUUGAAGGAAGUCGGGGGUAUUUCUAGGAAACUUACAUUUAGUUCCUAGAAUGUUAUUUCCAUUUGUAUAAACUUCCCCUUAUCUCCUCUCUUUGUACUCCUAUUCCAAGAAUCGUUGUUAUCUUUUCAUUUCUUAUCAUAUAUAUCAAACACUUCUUUAUUUGUCAUUCCUUUCUUUCAUCCUUUUUAAAUGCCAUCAAAUUAGAGUAAACAUCCAUUAUUCAUUAGCCCAUUUGUUCUAUCUAUUUGUUAAUUAAUAAAGAUUCAGUACGACUUAUUGUAUUUGCAAACCAAGUAAAAGCCAUGAUUUUCUCUUGUUAAGACUUAAGGAAAUGUAGGCGUUUACAAGUCCAGACACAUUUCUCUAUGAUUGUGAGUUGCUGUAAUUGGAAGUCUACAUCCUAAAGGAUUCAUGUUUUGUGAAGUCCAAAACUAAAACAAUAUUAUGUUUUUACAACAUAGUACAAUCUAUCGCAGUUGGAUUCAUUUGUUUUGAUACGAAGAGAGGCGAGUUUGACAGCUUAAAAAAUUCUCGUGAUAUAUGUCUUAUUCUAUCCUAUGACGACAAUGCUCAUAAAUUGUUAAUGGUAUUGGUAAAAUGGAGUAGUGAGCUAUUUAUUCCUUUGAAAAGCACAAUAUAUUUAAAUUAAAUUUCAAAUAGUUUUAAAAGAAGGAUGAGUCCAGAUAUGAAGCUAUGAAGCUGAGGCCGAAGCCUGUCUAUCAGGUCCUUCCACUUUAUCAAACCUAGUCCUAGAGCUAAGGUUGAUUUUUUUUUUUAUUUUUUUUUCUUUUUUCUCUCUCUAAAAUAAAAAAGAUCGGCCAAAUACUUUAUCUAUUUCCUUUGUUCACCUUUAAAUAUUUACAGGAUGGACAAAGGGGGGCAAACUGUAGAUACCGUAUUUUGUCCUAUAUUUAUUUAUUAUAAAAGAAAAAAGAAAAAGAAAAAGAAAUUAAAUUUGAAUUUGAAUUUGAAUUUGAAUUUGAAUUUGAAUUUGAAUUUGAAUCUUAAAUUUAUAUUUAAAAAAAAUAAUAAUAAUAAUAAUAAAUACAUUUAAAAAUAAAUAAUAAAAAUAAAACUAAAAGGUUUGAUUUCCUUCCUAUUUUUUUCUCAACCAUCCCUUUUUCUUCGUCAUCACUCUCCCACUUUCUCCCACUCUAUCACUUUCUCCCACUCUCCCACUUUCUUCCUAUUUCUCUGUAAUCUGCACUCCAUCUCGUGAUCUAAAAAAAAGCAAUGGAGCUUGCCCUAUAAAAAGGAAAGAGGAAAAAGAAAACAGGGGGAUCUUUUUUUUAUUAUUGGAGGAUUUAGAAAGAGGGGAAGAGUGAAAGAAGAUCAAAAAGGAAUAACCUUUGGCAUUGAAGGGAAGAGUGAAAGAAGAUCAAAAAGGAAUAACCUUUGGCAUUGAAGGGCAGACCUGCUGGUAAGUUUUUUUUUCUUUUUCCUCUUUUUAUUCUUAUUCUUGUUUAAUGAUUUUUUUUUUUUCUUCUUCUUGUUUGAUAUACUGCUUUUAAUUAUGAACUAUCGUGUUCAUCAUUUUACCAUCAUUUAACAUGUUAAUUUUAUUAUUUGUAUCUUUCUUAAUACUGAGCAUUCUACCUUCCAUAUUAAAUUUUUUAUUUUUUAUUUUUAAAUAUUGAACAUUCUGUUCUGUGUUAAUUUCUUUUCAAUUGUUGUGUAUCCAUUCUGUGUAUCCAUUCUGUGUAUCCAUUAUGUAUAUCCAUUAUGUGUUAAUUUUUAAAUAUUGAACAUUCUGUUCUGUGUUAAUUUCUUUUUAAUUGUUGGGUAUCCAUUCUGUGUAUCCAUUAUGUGUAUCUAUUAUGUAUACCCAUUCUGUGUUAAUUUUUAUAUAUUGAGCAUUCUGUUAUGUGUUAAUUUUCUUUUAUUACUGGGCAUCUGUGUUAAUUUCUUUUUAAUUAAUUAGCAUCAUAUAUUUGUAUUUGGAUACUCAUUCUUCAUUGACACCCAUUUUACAGUUAAUUACUUAUUACUUAUAUCCAUAUGGCAUCCUUAAUAAUUAUGCAUAAUUAAUCAAUUAGCCUUUUGUAUUUGGUAAUACUCAUUCUUCAUUGGCAUCCAUUUUACAGUUUUUGUUAAUUACUUUAUCCAUGUAUCCAUAUGGGUAGGCAUACCCUGUUAAUAAUUACUGUUAUCCAUAUAUUAUCCAUGUUAAUAAUUAUGCGUGAUAUAAUUAAUAUUUGGCAACAACCAUUUUUCAUUUGGCCUAUUAAUUAAUUAGCAACUUGUAUGUGACAUUUUCACUCCCUCAUUCUAAUUAUUUGCAUGAUGUAUUAAUUAAUCAGUAUGCAUAUGUGGCUAUAAUUAUUUGAUAUUUAUUUGGUGUGAUUAUUUAUUCGCAAUAUUAUUUAUUUGUAUAUUGGGCCAAACCUACUUUAGCAUUCAACUGUUAAUUAUUAUUUGAUAUCCAUUUGGCCUCGUUUAAUUAUGCAUUAAUCAAUUAUUUUGCAUCCUGCAUUAAUCAAUUAUUUUGCAUCAUUUUGAAUUAAUUAAUUAUGUUGCAUAUGUUGUAUUAAUUAAUUAUCUUGCAUCCUACAUUAAUAUCUUUUACAUUUUGCAUAUAUUAUCAAUGUAUUUAUUUUAUCUCAGCAUAUUACACCUAAGUAUUUUUCAAAUUUCAUAAUGUUUUGUCAUUGUUAUUAUUUUUUUUUAUAAUAAUGUAAAUUGGAGAAAAAGUAUUGUUUUUUAUGGAUUUUAUAAUUUAAAAUCCAUAAAUACAUGAAAUUUUUCCGUUUGAAAUUUAAUUAAUAGAUUUUUUUUUUUAAAUUAACACAUUUCAUAUUUUAAAUGAGACUGAGUAGUAUUUUCUAUGAAUUUAUUAAUUCUAGAUAUAUGAAAUUUUUCAUUAAACACCUAUGAUAGAGAUUAAAAUAUCAAGUGUUGGUAUCUUAAUAUUCUUAAGGUGAAUAAAAAUAUUUUAAAACAAAAAUAAACUUAAUUUUUCUAAUGGCUCCUAUGCCACUCAUAAUCAUCAAUUCAUGCUUAGUUUUUACUUUCUUCGAUAUGAAUUGAUAAACAUGGGACAUUUAAACAAAACCUAAAUAAAAUUUUAUUUUGUGAACCUUUAUAAUUUAAUUUAAAAGAUAAAAUUGGGUAACCAUUUUUUUGGGUGUUGUAGGGUGCUAACACCUUCCCUACACAUAACUGACUCCCGAACUUAAAUCUCUGAAUGUACGCAGACCAUUUUUUUUUUUCUUUCUUUUUUUUUGGGUGACCAAUCACACCUUAAUAUGAUUGGUGGCGACUCCAAAAUUUUUUAUUAAAAUAAAAUAAACGGGGAGGUCGGCCGCUCCGCGUAGCGAUCACGUCGCGACAGAAGUCAAAGAAGCUUCUUGAUCAAUUUUGGGGAGAUGCAGUAACUUGUGUUGUUUAUCUCCUAAAUCGAGUUUCAACGAAAAGUGUGCAAGGUAUUACUCCUCAAGAAGCAUGGAGCGGAUUGAAACCAACUGUUCGUCACCUAAGAGUGUUUGGGUGUAUUGCUUACUCUCACAUUUCAGCUGAGAAAAGAGGUAAGCUAGAUGAUAAAUCAGAAAAAUUCAUUUUUGUUGGGUACAGUGAGAACUCUAAGGCCUACAGACUAUACAAUCCGAUAAGUAAGAAAGUUAUUAUUAGUCGAGAUGUCAAGUUCGAUGAAGCAAAAUUGUGGCAAUGGAAUGCACCAAAUGAAGACCAAAAUCCAUUACAUGUUGAUAUGGAUGUGAAAGAAAAUGCUCGAGACUUGGAGCUUGAAGUAACUCAACCACUGACUUCACCUUCUUCAUCACACUCCACAAGUGAUGAAGAAACUACUCCAAGGAAGACCAGAAAUAUUCAAGAGAUCUAUAAUACUUCAAGAAGGAUACUAGAUGAAGAACAUGUUGAUUUUGCUUUAUUUGCAAAUGUUGAUCCUGUAUACUUUGAAGAAGCAAUUCAAGAUGAAAAUUGGAAAGAUGCAAUGAAUCAAGAGAUUGAUGCAAUAAGAAGAAACGAGACAUGGGAGUUAGUAAAAUUACCAGAAAAUAAAAAGGCUCUUGGAGUCAAAUGGAUCUAUAGAACAAAGCUAAAGCAAAACGGAGAAGUGCAAAAAUACAAGGCCAGACUCGUUGUAAAAGGUUACAAACAAAAGUUUGGUGUGGAUUAUGAAGAAGUUUUUGCACCGGUAACUCGCUUGGAGACUGUUCGUUUGUUGUUAGCCCUUGCAGCAAAAAAUGACUGGAAAGUUCAUCAAAUGGAUGUAAAGUCAGCAUUCCUAAAUGGGUAUUUAGAGGACGAAAUAUAUGUUGAGCAACCCCCGGUUAUGCAAAGAUUGGAGAAGAAAAUAAGGUGUGUCGAUUAAAGAAAGCCUUGUAUGGGCUAAAGCAAGCACCAAGGGCUUGGUACAGUCGCAUCGACAAUUUUUUCUUAAAGGAUGGUUUCAGAAGAUGUCCAUAUGAACAUGCUCUCUACACCAAAGAAGAUGAAAAUGGUAAUUUCUUGAUAAUUUGUCUAUAUGUUGAUGAUUUAAUAUUUACGGGCAACUCAAAUAUGAUGAUUGAAGAAUUCAAAGAGAGCAUGAAAAAGGAAUUUGAGAUGACUGAUAUGGGUUUACUUCAUUAUUUUCUUGGUAUUGAAGUUAAACAAGGUGAUAAUGAGAUUGCAAUUUUCCAAAAGAAGUAUGCAAAAGAUUUGUUGAAAAAGUUCAAAAUGGAGAAUGCUUAUCUUGCCAGUACUCCUAUGGAAUUGGGUUUAAAGUUAAGUAAGCAUGAUGUUAGUGAAACUUUUGAUGCCACCAUUUAUAGAAGUUUGGUUGGAAGUUUAAUGUAUUUAACUACAACUAGACCUGAUAUUAUGUUCUCGGUCAGUUUAUUGAGUAGAUUUAUGACAUCACCAAAGAGAAGUCAUUGGGAAGCUGGAAAGAGAGUUCUUAGAUGCAUUCUUGGAACUGUUGAUCAUGGAAUCCACUAUAAAAGGAAUGUAGAUAAUGUUCUUGUUGGCUACAGUGAUAGUGAUUGAGGAGGAAAUAUUGAUGAUUUCAAAAGUACUUCUGGGUAUGUAUUUAAUAUUGGUUCUGGAGCAGUUUCAUGGGCAUCAAAGAAGCAAGAUGUUGUAGCAUUGUCCACAACAGAAGCUGAAUACAUUUAUUUGUCUGUUGCUAGUUGUCAAGCACUUUGGCUAAGAAAUGUACUACAUGAAUUGAAGUGUCCUCAAGAGAAAGGGAUCAUCAUCUUUUGUGACAAUCAAUCGAUCUAUUUCACUUUCGAAGAAUCCCGUUUUUCAUGGAAGAAGCAAACACAUAAACAUCAAAUCUCAUUUCAUCAGAGAAUUGAUCAAAGAUGAAGAAGUUUAUAUCAAGUAUUGCAAGAGUCAAGAUCAAGUUGUAGACGUAUUCACAAAAGCAUUAAAGACAGAUUGAUUCUUGAAAAUGAAAGAGAAGCUCGGAGUUUGGAAAGUCUAGCUUAAGGGGGCAUGCUAGAAAUUAAUAAGCUAGAUACAUUAUGGAUAAUACAUUAAUAGAUACAUUUCUAGUUUCAAGAUAAAUAUGCAUUUCUAGAUACAUGUAAUUAUUCAAGUACAUGAAUGGUAUGUAUACAUGUACUUCAUUUAUUUUGUGUCCUUUAGGAAGUGUCUCUUGAGUACUAUAUAUAGAGAUCAUUUCCUUCAUUUGUAUGCAAGAUAAAAGAAUCAAAUCAAUAUAAGCAAAUUGAGUUUUAGAAAGUAAGUGAGUUUCAAGAGAACAAUAUUAUUCUCUUGUGUGUUAUUGAGUUUUCUAAGAGAACAAGUUUCUUCUCUUAAAAGUUUGUGAGAUUUAGAGUAAAUUUAGAGUGGGCUCGUCAACACCUCCAACACUUUGAUACCAUUCAUAAUUGAUGCACCUACUGUCAAGGUGACCUGUUGUGACAUACAAUCAUAGAUAUUUUACAUAUAGUUUAGACAAUAACUGAGACAAAUAAAAAACCAAGAAGAAAAAAUAAAAGGAAAGUGAUAUGAAAGUUGAUAACCGUUCGCUAAUAUAUCACCUACUUACUUUUGAAGGUUUGUGUGUCCAUAAAAAAUAAUUCGUUAAUAUUAAAAGUUAAUUAUACCAAUUACAACGAAGUAUUUAUAUGUAAUAAGCAUUAUAGUAACUCGCGUAUAGCCUAAAUGAACAGCUAAGUGUCCCCUAGAUGGCAGACUCCCUCUCAAGAUAACUUAGGCUCUCCUAAUUAAUGUACCAAUAUUAGUAUCUUCACCUCAGUUUCCACUUCGUGAAUGUGAGACUCCCUCCCACCAAGAUAUUUUCUUUAUGAUCAAGUUCUCUUUGCUGAAAGAUCUUAGACUCUCCCUAAGAUAGAGAAUCUUUUCUCCUCGUGCUAAAGUAUGAGGCCCCCUAAGACCAAGAAUCUCUUCUUGGUGGCAAGCAACUAAUGAAGAACAUACUACAAAACAAGGUGAGCAAUGAGCAAUAACAUUAAAAACGCAAGGAUGCCUUGCAUGAAGAACGUACUGUAGUUUGCCAAAUAAACAAAUUCAUUUUCAAUAAACAAAUUUGGCAACCCUGAAAGAGUUUUAUAAUUUGCACUAAAAAAAUUGAUCCAUUAAAGAAAAUAACAAAAUAUCAGUUGUCCCAAACUGUAAAAGAUUUCAAAUAAAAAUAAGGUAAUGGCAUGAUUCCAUAAUAAGGAAAAUAUUUGCUGUGAAGUCUUAGAAUGUUAAAACUUUGCAGAAGAGAACAUAGCAACCGUCUGGUCUUCUAAAAUUAUAAUAUGCCAACUAACAAAUAUUAUAAAUAUUCUUCAUCUUCAUUUUCGCUACUUUGCAAUUUUAUCCAGAAUUAACUUUUUUUUACUUGGAUGUGAUAAAACUGUGGUUUUACAAAAGGUAUAAGGAUUAAUUCUUUAUUUUUUUUCAUUAUAUGGUAUUGUCCUUCUUUCUUUUUUCCUUUAUCAAGUAUUGUUCCAAGAUCGUUUAAAUUUAGUACAAAAUCGUUUAGAUCGAUACAAUGAUAAAAGAUCAUUUAUACUAGGUACAUGGUAUAAAAUUGUUUUUGACUAGACCGAAAGGAAUAUCGUGUACCAAGAUUGUUUAGAUUUAAUACAAAAUUGUUUAGAUUUGGUAUAAGACCGUUUAGACGAGGUACAAUAUUGUUUAAACUGAGUACAAUAGUACAUGAUUGUUUAGACGAGGUACAAGGAUACAAUAUCGUUUAGAUUAGGUUCAAGAUCGUUUAGACAGGAUACAAUAUCGUUUUUCGCACGUGUGUUGCUGAUUAAUCUUGAUAUGUUUUUGUUAUUUCACGGUGUGGGCUUUUUCCUUUUCAAAAUUAUUUUAUACUGGAUAAAUAUUUUUGUAUUUUGUUAUAUUUUUUAAUAAGGGGCAUUUUUAAAAAUAACAAAAUAAAUAAAAAUAUUUACAAGUUAUAGCAAAAUUUUAGAUUCUAUCAAUGACAUUUUCUUCUAUCACUAUAAGAUAUCAAUGAUUAUCUGUAAUAAAAUUUGAUAUCGAUUGUAAAUAUUUUGUAAAAUUUACUAUUUUUUAAAAUUUCCGUAUUAAAAAUACCUAUACAGUAUAUGACACUUUUUUUUUUUUUCCUUUUUAUAAUUAUGUAAAGAAAAUAAAUUUUAGAAAAGAUUUAUUUUCAAAUUCAGAAAAAUAUAUCAAUUUAUUUUAAAAAGGUUCAUUUUAUCCAAGUUGUUGACAAACAUUGUUAUCAAAGUUACUUAGGAUUGAUGGUAGAUGUCUAUUACCAUUGUCUGUCUAUAUCAUCGUCUAUAGUUGAAAGAAUACAUAUUUUGCCAUAUUUUUUAAUGGUUCUCUGCUAGAAUAAUAUUCCUUUUCGAAACUACACCUACAAAAUAAGAAAGCAACUGAAAGCAAAACAUAAGGAACAAUAAAAUAACAUAAUUUUUAUCUACAUGAAGCAUCUACCUCUUUUUCUUUUCUUUUCUUUUUUUUUCUUUUUACUUGGAAGUGAUAAAACCAACCCUGUACUCUACCUGCUGGCCAGCACAUUAGAACAACUACGACAAAAAAUUCUAAGAACAAGAAAAAAUAUGUAAUAAAAUAAUAUAGCUCAAGUUGUUUUAAAAUGGGAGCAUAUUAUUGAGAAUUUGUUGUUUGUGGGAGUGUUGUGUAAACCAAUUUUGUGAUCAUGGCUCUGGCUGGGAAGCUUGUGAGUGAAGUAGAAAUAAACACACCUCCCCAUAGAUUUUACAAACUCUUUAAAGAAGAAAUUAAUAGCAUUCCAAAUAUUUCUCCAAACUUAAUACAAAAAAUUCAAAUUCAUGAUGGGGAUUGGAGCAAACAUGGUCAUGGUUCCGUCAAGGUUUGGAAUUACACUAUUGGUACGUAUAUAUAAUCUUGUGACCUCUACAAUGAUAUAUUUUUCUUUUCCACUUUGUUUUAUUAUUAUUUGUUUUUUUAAUGAAGGACUUACUCCGCCUCUAAACAAUUAAUGGUUUCCUUUUCUUUGUGUUUAUAUGAAUUUUAAGAUAAUAGGGCUGAAGUUAUCAAAGAGCGAGUUGAAUUUGAUGACAAAAAACUUGUGGUAAGAGUAGUUGGAUUGGAAGGAGAUGUGUUUAAGCAUUACAAAACCUUCACUGGAACGUAUCAAGUUGUUUCUAAAGGACCCAAUCGUAGCGCCAUAAUAUUUACCUUGGAAUAUGAGAAACUUCAUGAUGGUCCUCCUUACCCUGACAAGUAUCAUGAGGCUAUGAAUAGCCUUGCUAAGGACAUUGAAUCUCACCUUAAAAAAUAAGGUUCAACGUGUUUUCUAACGUCCGCAAUAAUAAUACGAUAUGAAUAAGUAUGUUGUGUUAGGGUUGAUUCUAUAAGAUUGGGAGGAUUUUUGUAAUACUAAAUAAUGGUUAUCCUCGUGUAAAAUGAAAGAAACUCAAACAUAAUUUUGUUUUAAAUAAUAUGGACUAUGCUAUCUUCUGAUAUAAUGUAUGGUUUUUCUUGGCUAUUUUCUUUGUCACUUGCUGAACUCUUACAUAGUUUUCAUUUUCAAGUCUUACAUGAUGGUCCUCCUUACCCGCAAUAGUGCCAUGAGGCUAUGAAUAGUCUUGCUAAGAACAUUGAAGCUCACCUAAAGAAAUAAGGUUCUACAUAUGUCUCAAGUCCGUUGCAUUAUGAUAUGAAUAUGUUGUGUUACAGUUGAUUCUAUACGAUUAUGAGGAUUUUGUUAAAAUAAUAAUUGUUAUCCUCAUGUAAAAUGAAUGAAUUGAAGUUAAACUCAACUAUAAUUCUGUUUUAAUUAAUAUGUACUAUGCUAUCUUUUGAUAUGUAGUAAGGUUCUAAUUAUGCUAUCUUCUGCUGUAGUUCUUACAUAUAGUUUUCUUCACUUUCAAGUGGGUGAAAAAAUCAUCUUCUUUCUUUUGAGAGAGGGAAAGUUUAAAAGUGUACAUGAAUGUGAAUUAAGAAGUUGAUUUGAUGGCUUCAAUUUAAUAGGUUUUAAAUCCAUAUAACAUUGGGGGGAGGGAGAGAAAAAAUAGUCAUUAAAUCCGAAAACGCAUCUUGGGAGUCCCUUCCAUUGGGAAACUUUGGGUUUUUCACUCAGCCAGCUUGUUUGUGAGUAUGGUUAAUAAAAAGUUCUGUAGUUUUUGGCAUUCUAUGUUAAACAUGUAUAAUUUUUAUCUAAAUUAAUUUUGAGCUUCAUCCAAACUAACAGACAAACUAGAUAGCCCAACGAAGAUCUUAUAAUUUGGUGUUAAAGAUGAGCAUUGGAAGUUCUACUUUUUGUUUCCUACAACUAUUGUUUGUCUGAGUAAUGACAUAAGAGUGACCAAGAAACUUGGAAAAAUCUCAUGUACUAUUCUAUGGAGUGCGUCGUGAGAUUUCUCUGUGAAUGUUGAAUCUGAAGCUUUCAUUUUCUCCCCUGUUUUCGACCAUUCUAUUCAUAAGUUGUAUGAGAUAUCUCUGAUAUUUGAUUGGGUAGGUCUUGAUUGUUUCGAGAUUGUCCCACUUUGGGGUUGGGUCUUCAUAUCAUGGAAAAAUUAAAAACGUCGUAGAUUCAACAGUACUUAGUAGCAUGUCCCUCACUCUUCCUGUACCAUCGGAACCAACAUUCUUCAUGCAUAGUAACAUUGAUGAACCCAUCACACAGUCAAAGACAAAUCAAUAGUUGGAAAUGAAACGAGAAGGCUAGUGAUCAUUCUGAAAGCAUAUACCGCCCUCCAAUCUUUAUCUAAUGAUGCCUCAAUUAGUAAUCUCAAUCCUCGCUAGAUCUUUUAAUUUAUCCACUUUUUGUUAAAAAUAUGUAAUUUUGAAAGUUGUUUUUAGGUUGAUAUUUUAACAUUUGAUUGGUUGAAUUCAAUGUAUUAUUUAUUGUUCUAUGGAGUGAUCAAGCAAGAGUUGUGUUCUUGAAAUAUUGUUUGUCUAUAUUUCUAUUUAUUUAUUAUUGAAGUUAUGAAUGGUGACAUGAUUUAACUGCAACGUUAUAAAUUUGAAUUCAUAAAUCAUGAUGGCAUAAACAAAAUAAUAAACAUGAGGCAGUGUUGCCAGUUGGUUGCAGUUGCCCUAUCUUCUCUUUUUCUUUGCCUUUAAGAACAUUUCCAUGUCAUAUUUCAAAGUCUUCCAAUCUACCAUCAUAAACAACAUACAUAUAUAUUCUCUCCCAUUAGUGUUGAUCAUUAAUUUCUAAAUCUUAAGGGCCCGUUUGGUAACGUUUUCGUUUCCUGUUUCAUGUUCCAUGUUCCUUGUUUCUUCAUUUGUUAGAACAAGAAACAUGAAUGUGUUUGAUAACGGUUUCUACUUCUUGUUUCUUGAAAAAUAGAAACAGAAACAGAAAAUGUGUUUGAUAACUGUUUCUUAUUUUCUUAUUUUCUUAGAGAUUUUUUAUUUUAUUUUAUUCACAUCUAAUUCAAUUAAACAUUACACCACUCACUUUAUCAAAUCCAGAUAGGAAGGUCUACUAGUAAUCUUAUGAAAAUUAAGAUGGAGAUUGAGAUCUGAAGGAAAAAGCCAGCGAGGAGGAAGACAAAACCCACGAUGAAGAUGAGGAUUGAAAUCCACUGCGAAAACACAAAUCUGGCAGAACCCCACAGCGAAAAUUCAGAUCCGACGAAGAGGAAAACACCGUGUAGAGGAAGACGAUGAGAAGCGAGGAGGAAGAUGGAGAAGACAAUAAGAGGAAAAGGAAAAGGAAGACGAUGAAGGUAAAAGGAAGAAAAAGGAAACCACGCCAAGAGUGAUUAUUUGGGGAAGAAGAUGGAAAUAAAAGGAAACAAAUAAUUGAGAAAAAGGAAAAGGAAACCAAUAAAAAUAAUUGAGAAAAAUGAAAAGAAAACAGAUAAAAAUAAUUGAGAAAAAAAAGAAAAAAAAACCAAUAAAAAUAAUUAGAAAAGAAAAAGAAAACCAAUAAAAGUAAUGGAGAAAAAGGAAAAAGGAAACCAAUAAAAAUAAUUGAGAAAAAGAAAAAGAAAACCAAUAAAAAUAAUUGAGAAAAAAAAUGAAACAAAUAGAAAUAAUUAAAAAGAAAAAGGAACAAAUAAAAGUAAUUGAGAAACGGAACAGAAGAAACUACUUUUUUUUCAUAGUAAUUUCGUAUAAAAUGAAAAACGUUUCUACUUUUUUCAGAACGAGACACAGGGAACGUUACCAAACACAUCAAUUUCUUAAAAAGUGGAAACAGUAAAUAGGAAACAAAAAACGAGAACGUUAUCAAACGGACCUUAAAUGAUCAUCAUAGGGAUUGUUUCCAAAGAUUUUUUUGGCGUUGUGAGUUUUACUACAAUUUUAAUAAAAAUGUUUAAUUUAAAAGGUUAAAGUACUAUUUCAUUUAAUUUUUCCACGUUGUAUUUGUCGAUGUGUAGUUUAAGACUUGUUUCAUUUUAGUCAUGGUACUUGUAUGUAUGUCUGAUUUAACUUUUCAAUAUAAUUUUAACAUUAGUAGUUUAAGAUUGUGUUUUUUUUCUCAACACACCACCUCGACGUGCUCAUGGUCCUCCAAGAUCUUGAGUAGUUUGUAGAAGAAGUCGUUCACCUAUUAGAAGACUAGCUCAAUCAUGCUCUAGAUCAUUUUUACCGCGAAGAUAACUUGAUGCCUAACCAAAACUUUUGUCACCACCAACCUAACUGCCUUUUCAAGGAAGACUACUAGUUUGAAAACACAUACGUUUGGCUCUUUUAAGGAUCAUAUAGUUUCAAACUUCUUUUUAUUGAUUUAUAGUUGUUUACUAUUUAGACUUAACCAUUCAAAUCAAAUCAAAGUUUUCUUCAACCAAAAUUGAGAUUGGGCUACUUGAUUAUCAUUGCAUUUAGGACAUAUUUUCCCCCUUUUAUAUUUGUAUUUUCUUCUUCUUGUGUACUUCAAUUGGGAGACCUUUAUUACUCAAACAUCUUAAUUUGUAGUUUCACACGGUUUAAUAAUUCCUAAAAUAUGUACUUAUAACAUUACUCUGGGAUACUUUUUAUCACUUUUUAUUACUAUUUUUAUGUGUCCCGGUAUUCUUUCAUAUUAAACCUGAAAACGAUAAUAAUUACUCAAUAACUUCUCUUAGCAUUUACACUUGUGGAUAAUUCAUGGAUGCACAAGAGAAGGUUAUCCAAAUAUUAUGAAUUGGGUGUAGAAAACUAAAUCAAUUUUGGAUUUUCUAAUACAAAUAAUGCCUCUAUUUGUUGCCCUUGUUUGAAAUGUGUGAAUUGUGAAAAAUAAAGUCAUACUACUAUUAGAGAUCACUUAUAUGUCAAUGGAAUUGAUGAAAGUUAAUUAUAAAAUUUGGUUUUGGCAUGGUGAACAACUACCUAACUCAUCCUUAUAUGAAAAAUCUUCUAAGUUUGACACCUAUAUAUACGAAGAGAACGAUGUUGGAAAUAUAAAUGAAAUGAUUGAAGUUGCUCGUGAGGAAUAUUCAAAAGAUCCAAAUGAAUUUGAAAAAUUGCUUAAUGGUGCUGAAAAACCAUAAUAUGAACGAUGCAAAAAAUUCAUCAAAUUGUCCACAUUAGUCAAGUUGUAUAAUUUAAAAGUUAGGUAUGGAUGGAGUGACAUUAGCUUCUUAAAACUACUAAAAAAUUUAAAGAAAAUUUUUCCUACUGCCAAUGAGAUCCCAAUAUUAAUGUAUGAAGCAAAUAAAACUUUAGGUGCUCUAGGAAUAAAUUAAGAAAAGAUUCAUGCAUAUGCAUAACCUAAUGGUUGUUGUUUGUGUAGAAAAGAAUACACUAAUACAACUAAAUGUGUCCUAAAUGUGGUGAAUCAAGAUGGAAGUAUGCUAAUAAUGCAAGCGAAUGGAAGAAACAAAUUCCAUGAAAAAAGUUGUAUGAUACUUUCCACUAAUUCCACGUUUCAAAAGAAUUGUUUCAAAGUGUUGACUGUGCUAAAAAUUAGAUUUGGCAUGCUAAAUGAGCGAAUAGUAGAUGAAAAUUUACGACAUCUUGCAGACUCUUCAACUUGAAAAUUAAUAGAUUUAAAGUGGCCAGACUUUGGUUAUGAACCUAGGAAUAUUCGUUUAGCAUUGCCAAUUGAUGGAAUCAACCAGCACGAUGAAAGGAGUUUUAAAUAUAGUUCUUGGUUCGUAGUGAUUGUCGCGACGUGAUCGCUACGAGGAGCGGCCGACCUCCCCGUUUAUUUGAUUUUAAUAAAUAGUUUUGGAGUCGCCACCAACCAUAUUAGGGUGUGAUUGGUCACCCAAAAAAAGAAAAAAAAAUGGUCUGCGUACAUUCAGGGAUUUAAGUUCGGGAGUCAGUUGUGUGUAGGGAAGGUGUUAGCACCCUACAACACCCAAAAAAUGGUUACCCAAUUUUAUCUUUUAAAUUAAAUUAUAGAGGUUCACAAAACAAAGUUUUUAUUUAGGUUUUGUUUAAAUGUCCCAUGUUUAUCAAUUCAUAUCGAAGAAAGUAAAACCUAAGCAUGAAUUGAUGAUUAUGGGUGGCAUAGGAGCCAUUAGAAAAAUUAAGUUUAUUUUUGUUUUAAAAUAUUUUUAUUCACCUUAAGAAUAUUAAGAUACCAAAACUUGAUAUUUUAAUCUCUAUCAUAGGUGUUUAAUGAGAAAUUUCAUGUAUCUAGAAUGAAAACACUACUCAGUCUCAUUUAAAAUAUGAAAUGUGUUUAUUUAAAAACAAUCUAUUAAUUAAAUUUCAAACGGAAAAAUUUCAUGUAUUCAUGGAUUUUAAAUUAUAAAAUCCAUAAAAAACAAUACUUUUUCUCCAAUUUACAUUUUUAUAUUUAAAUUGAAAAAUGAAUAAUAACAAUGAUAAAACAUUAUGAAAUUUGAAAAAUACUUAAAGGGUAAUAUGUUGAGAUAAAAUAAAUGCAUAAAACAAAUACAGGAUAAUGUAAGCAAUACGCAAAAUGUACAAGAUAAUUAAUUAAUACAGCACAUGAGAUAAUUAAUUAAUGAAGAAUGAUGCAAAAUAAUUAAUUAAUUCAAAACAUGUAAAAUAAUUAAUUAAUUCAAAAGGAUGCAAAAUAAUUAAUUAAUUCAAAACGAUGCAAAAUGAUUAAUUAAUACAUAAAGGUGAAAAAUAAUUAAUUAAUGCAGAAAUAGGCAAAUUAAUUAAUUAAUUCAGAAAUAUGCAAAAUAAUUAAUUAAUUCAGAAAUAUGCAAAAUAAUUAAUUAUGCUAGACCAGAGUAAUAAAUAAUUACUUGAGGAUGUCAAAUGGGUGAAAUAAUAAUUAACGGCAGAGUGUCAAAGUAGGUUUAAUGCAAUAUGCCAAUAAAUAAUCACAGUAGCCAAUGGAUGUCAAAUAGUUUUAGUGAUUAAUUAAUUAAUACAGAAUACAAAUAAUUUGAAUGAGUAAUUGACAUAAGAGACCAAAUGAGUGCCAAAAUAAUUAACGAUAUGCAAAUAAUUAGCUCACAAUGGAGGAUGUCAAAAAAUUAAAACUGUCAAAUACAUUGUUCUAAUUAAUUAACCAUGCAUAAUUAAAAGAGUAUGUCAAAUGAAUAGUUAUUUUCAAAUGCAUAAUUAACAUAUAUGCCAAAUGGAUAAUUAUUAAAGCAAGAUACCAAAUAGAUACACACAAUUAACACAGAAUGUAAAAUGGGUGUUUAGAUAAUAAAAAAGAUAGCAAAUAAUUAAAUCAGUAUGCCAAAUGGGUGUCAAAUAAGUGUUAAAUAAUUAAGACAUCAAUCAAAUAAUUAACACAUCAUUUAAUUAAUUAACCAAAUGAACACUACUACAAAAUCUACUUUACUUGACACUAUGUACUUUUACAUACUUGACAUUUUUAUUAAAAAAACGUCAAGUAAUGAUCAUUUCAAAAGAAAAGCGUCAAGUAUAGUUUAAAAAAGGGGAAACUUUCACGAAAGUUUUCAAACUAUUUUACAUUAGUUUUUACUUGACGUUUUUUUCGCGUCAAGUAUAAGAGAGAUUUUACUUGACGUUUUAUUCGCAUCAAGUAUAACGAACUUUUACUUGACGAGAACAAAAUGUCAAGUAUAACGAACUUUUACUUGACAUGAACAAAACGUCAAAUAUAACGAACUUUUACUUGAUGCGAACAAAAUAUAAUGCAUAAUUUACUUGACGUUUUGUUAGCUUUUACUUGACGUUUUUUUAGUUUGAAUACAGCAAAAUUUCAUGAAAUUUUGAAUUAUUUUACGUUAGCUUUUACUUGACGUUUUUUUCCACGUCAAGUAUAAUGCAUAAUUUACUUGACGGUCUUUUAGUGUCAAGUAUAAUGCAACUUUUACUUGACAUCUUUUUCAUGUCAAGUAUAGUUAACAUUUUUAUUUUGUCAAGUAUAAAAAUAUAAAAAUACUUUUUAUUUCCCUCUUUUAAAUUUUUUUUAGUUGGAUUUCUACCAACGUUUAUUUUAAUUUAUGGUCAAGUAUCAUGUGUGGAUAAAUAUUUUAAACAUUUGUCGACUUAAUUUACGUGGCGAAAGAUCCCACACCUUUUAGACAUAUUUAUGCCAACGUAAUUUACGUGACGAAAGACCCUAAAUUUUUUAUAUGCAUUUAUGACGACUCAAAAUUUAUACAUAUGACAGCGAAAAUAACAUGAGCAUAUGUUUUUUUUUAAAAAAAAAAAUAUAAUUUCAGUUUUUAUGUUCUUUAAAAAAAAAAAAACAUAAUCAUUUUUUUAUGUUUUUUUUUUUAAAAAAAACAUAAUUUCUUUUUUACUUCUUCCUCAUUUUUUACUUUUUCCCUCCAACAUUUCCCUCCCACUUUUCUCUCUCCCAUACAACAUUUCCCCCCAAUUUGCCGCCUCCUCUUCUCACAGAACGCAACCCAACCACUAUCCUUCCGAUUUCCCUCUUCCUCUUCUCACAACCUACCAUCUUAACGCCGCCGCUACCCUUUCUCGAUUUCCCUCUUCCUCUUAUCGCAACCCACCAUGCAAAUGUCGCCGUUAUCCUCCCCAUUUCCCUCUUCCUCUUCUCGCAACCCAGCAUUCGAACGUCGCUGCUACUUGCUACCAUCUGAAUGUCGCCGAACGCCACUGCUAUCUGCUAGCAUUUGAACGUCGUUGGAGGCCGCCACUCCUUUGCUCACCAAACUCGUCGUAAGUGCUCCAUUCGUUGCAGCUCACCCUAAGUAAGUUUAACUUUAGUUUAUUUAUCAAGAUUUCAAAGCCUCCAACAUUUUGCUUGAUUGUAUAAGAUAUUGAUAUAGAUUAGUAUAUUGUUAUUGUGUGUGAAACCAAGGUUAAUGUAUUCCUAUAAUUGAAUUGUAUUUUUUUUCAAGAUUACUUUGCUAUAUGUUUUUUAAGAUUACAUUGUGUGCAAGGAUAUAUCGAUUUUGCAAAGCUAUAGUUUUUCUAAUUUUCUUUCUUCACUACUAAUUGGAAACAUUAUUUGUAUUCCCAUACUUUGAAUUUUUUGAAGAACAUAACUUGGUUAUGAUAUUUGAUGUCUAGCAAAUUAGUGAUUUGAAGCACAGAAGCCGUGAGUCGUGUCAGUUUGUUUUGUUUAUUUGUUUUUCUUUUAAACUAUAUUAUUUAUUCUUUUAGAAACCAAGCAACAAUAAAGUCAUAGUUUGCGACGAGAAAUUGAAGAACAUAUUUGGAGGGAAAAAUGAGGUUGGAUUUUUGGAGAUUGUAGGUUUGAUAAGUACUCCAGACUUUCUAUAAUUAUUCAAAGUAUGGAAGAUAAACAUAAUAUGGACCUUCUUUUUAGUCCAUGAAGAUUAACUUUUUGUUUUGUACAAGGGAAGAGUACUAACUAUUGCUAUCGGAAAAUGUUUGCUUGAUUCUAAAAUCUUGGUUUGUUCCAUUCAACGUGACUAACAAUUUUUAAUAUGUAGGAUGAAUUUAUUUUUCAUGUAUUUUGUUACAUAACUUAGGUUCACUCGUGAGGGAUUAAUAUCAAGCUAGUGGAUGAAUACUUAUUGGAUCUUGAAAGGAGAUUUAAAGGUAUAGAUGUCUACAUCUUUAACUAGCCCUUCUUUUUUUUCUUCUUUUUUUGUGCUUUUAACUACCCUUCUUAACAAUGUUAAUUGUUCCAAAUUAAGCAAUCGGUUAUAUUUCUCUCCUAAGUAAAAGACAUUUAAAGUUGUGUUAAUUAGGGUCAUGGCUUUUUAGAUUUUCUUAUAUUUUAUUGGUUGCUAUUCACAUCUUAUAUUUUAUUGGUUGCUAUUAGUUGGACUGGUCAUUAAUUGUUGCAUAAGACAGAUUUAUCUUGUACAACCUUUCUAGAUCUUGUACGAAUUUUCUCAAUUUGCUACACGAACUUUAGAAUUUUUGUCGAUUGGAGUUCUUUUGCUUGUUUGAUUAUUUGAUCGACUAGUUAUUUUGUUUUUCACAUUUUGAAUUGUUUUGUAGUGAAGGCAAAAAGGUGAAUUAAUAGUUUUGAGUAGAUAUGGUUUCCUUCAAAAUGAUUGACCGCAAGAGUGAGUUUAAAUUUUCUCUUAAGGAUAUAUUAUUUUUUUAUUUUGUUUAGUGGAUCGGUUUCAUAUUUGAAAUAUUUAGUUAUUGGUUUAGGGUUAAGCUACUUGGUUAGUACAAUCUUAUUGGUUUGUUUUGUUUGUUUUUUGGUAUUUAGAAUGAUUAGGGCAGAGUGUUGUUCGUUUAAGGGAUUGAAUAUUGUGAAUCGGGCUUUAGUCAUUAAUCGUUAUGUAAUUACGAUGUUAAUCUAGUAUUUUUGCUUCUCAUCUUUGCCUCGAUACUUGGAGUUUCAUUAUGGUCAUCAACUCAUUCACUUAGUUUAGUGUGUAGUUAUGUGAGCCCUAGGUUUCUUAGAGAUUAUGUGUUGCAUAUUUUGUUAGGAUUUCUACGUCUACGCUUAGCAAUGCUCAUGCAUAAAAGAGAGAAGGUACGUGAUUUUUUCUAAUCAUUUUGUUUCUUAUAUGAAUUGUUUUUGUAAUGGCAUUAAUGAUAAAUUUGGCUUAAGACUACGAGGAUUUGUGCUCAUUUUUUGGUCUGUGCUCAUUUUCAAAUCCAUAAAAUAAGUGCAUUAAGAAUUUUUAUAAAUGGUUAUAUAUAUUAUUUAACUAAUUAAACUUGUUGAUUUAGUGGUGAUCCAAUAUUUGAGCCAUGAAAUUAAUAGUGUUUAGACUAGAUUUGUGUUCAAGUAUGUGAAUUAUCAUCACUUGUUGUGGCUGAGAGAAAAAUGCAAUGAUCCUUUCUCUUGAAUCUUGAUUGUUGUAUUGUGUAGGAAGAGAAGGCUAUUGACCGUGGAAUUCUUUCCUUGCUCCAACCUGCAACUUUGGUUCAAACUUUUGGACAAAGGAACCAUGUUUGCUUGAACGAGGGUCCAUCAUUGUUCCUCCAUACUGUCCUCCCUAGAAAAUGAAAACCCACCUAAUCCCCCUUGAAACUCCUUGCUCUAUCAUCAUCUAUUUUCGUGGAUUGUUUUAUGAUGUUAACAAUGACCCAGAAGGUGCGUGUUGGUUAUGUCAUUAUUAGUUUUUUACAUUCCUAGAAUAGAACAGGGUUGAAUACAACACUAAUAGGGUAUAGAAGUUCGACUUUGUUGUGUUUUGACAAUUUAAUUGAACCUACAGAGGUGCAAGAGCAGUUGUGUGGGAGAACUUGAAAAACAAUCCUCUCUUUAAUAUCUUUACCGACCAUCCAACGACGUAUUAUGAAGAUAUGCACAGGGAAAUAUUUUGUUUAUGUCCUCUUGGACAUCUCUAUCAACCAUCCAACGGCAUAUUAUGAAGAUAGCUAUUAUUAUUGAUUUAGAACAUGCCACAUAUAGUAAAUUUUAGCUAACUAUAUUGGAUUGAAAUUGUGUAAUUGUUGAUGACAUUGUUGAGAUUAAUGAAAUUAUUGUUGGUUUAUUAAUUAUACUAAAUUAUUCAUCAUUUUUUUGUUAUAAAUCUACUAGUUGAAUAAUUUAUUUUGUUGAUGGAUAUGUUUUAUUGAAUGAAUGUACCUAAUGCAAGAAAUGAAAAAUUGUGUAUUAAAUAUAUUAAUAAAUGAUAUACUUAACAUUAAAUACAUGUCAAAUAUACUAUUUCACUUGAAUUAAAUAUAAAAAUUUACUUGAUGGAUAAAUAGUGUCAAGUAUACUAUCUUACUUGAUGGGUAGAUAGUGUCAAGUAUAUUAUCUUAUUUGACAUGUAAAUAGUGUCAAGUAUAUAAUCUUACUUGACGUGCAAAAACCGUCAAUUAUAGGACUUUAUUUGACACGUAAAAUGCGUCAUUUAUAUGACCUUACUUGACACGUAAUAAGCAUCAAAUGCGAUAGAUUACUUGACGUUAAUACAAUGUCAAGUAAAUGUAUACUUAACAUUUUUUUAGUGUCAAGUAAUGCGACUAUACUUGAUAGUCGAUUACUUGACGCUUCUAAAAACGUCAAGUAUACGUUUACUUGACAAUGUAUUCACGUCAAGUAAACCAAUUUUUGUAGUAGUGGAAAUAAUUAACAUAGCACCCAAAUGGAUGCCAAAUAAUUAAUCAAGAACACACUUAUUAAUUAAGGUAGUAGCCAAAUAGAUGCAAAACAACUAAUUAAUCAGCUCAGCGAUCAAAUAGUCAAAAUGGGUGUCAAAUUAAUUAGCAUGCAGAACUCAGCAAUCAAAAUACUCCAAUGGCCAAAUGGAUGUCAAAUAAUUAACGAGGAUGCAGAAAAUUAAUACAUACCAAAUAAUUAACAUAGCAUUGGCAGUAUGCUAAUUAAUUAACCAAAUAUUUAAUGCCAAAUCAGAUAAUUAACUCACAACAUUCAAAUGGGUGCCAAAUAAUUAAACGGAUGCGGAACUCAUCCAUCAAAAUAGUCAAAUGGCCAAAUAGAUGUGCAUAAAUAAGUGUAAUCAGAUGCAAAACACUAAUUAAUUAGGGCAGCAAUCAAAGAGUCAAAUGGGUGCCAAAUAAUUCAAAUGAUGCAAAUAAUUAAAAGAUGUGAAAUGAGUGUCCAAUGAUUAACACACCAGCUAAUUAAUGAGUGAUUUAAAUGAAUAAUUAAGACAGCACCUAGAUGGGUGGCAAAUAAUUACUGGGUGCCAAAUAAUUAAGCCAGUAUCAUCAAACAUGAAUUAAAAAAAAAGAACUUACAAGGUCUGCCUUAAAUGCAAAAUGUUCUGGGUUGAUCCUCCUCACCUCUUCCAAAAAAAAAAUCUUUUACGUGUCCCUCUUCUCUACCAAAUAAUUCUCCAGCAAAAAAAAUUCUCCCCCCACAUUGAAUCUUCUCAUUCUCUUUUUAUAGGGAAAUGUCUCCUUUUUUUAGAUAGAAGUGAAGUAGGUUUAGAUAGUGAAAUGGAGUACAGAGAAAUGUGGAAGAGGGAGAACGUGAGAGAUUGGGGAAGAAGGUGGAAGAGUGGGAGAACGUGAGAGAUUGGGAGAAUGUGGGAGGGUUGUGACUCAUGAAAACAAGGGAUGGUUGAGAAAAAUAGGGAGAAAAAAAAAUCUUUACUUUUAAAUUUAAUUUUAAAUAUGCUUUUAUUUUUGUUUUUGUUUUAAAACAUAAAUUUAAAAAUUAAGAUUUAAAUUUAAAUUCAAAUUCAAAUUAUUUUAAAAAAAUAAUAAUAAAUAAAUUAAUGAAAAAAAUAAAAAGGCAGGACAAAAUACGGUAUCUACAGUGAUAAUUUUUUAUAAUCUUCCACCCUAGUUGUGCAUGAAAAGAAAGCUCAUGAUGUUAUCAAUGUAUAUUUUUCAAUCUGAUAUGUAAUAAAGUCAUUGAUGUGCAACAAUAGAAAAAGUUGGAAGAAGAUGUUGUGGUGAUUAUGUGUCUGCUAGAGGAAUAUUUCCCUCCAUUUUUUACCAUUUUGAUGCAUCUCACUGUACACAUUAUUAGAGAAGUCAAACUUUGUGAGACUGUAUAUUCAAGAUGGAUGUAUCCCUUCGAAAGAUACAUUAAAGUUCUAAAAAACUACUUGAGAAAUAGACAUCAUUCAAAAUGUUAUAUUGGAUGUUGUUGUUGUUUGUCUUUUCGUGUAGGUGGAUUUCGAAUCUUGGAUCAUUAUUUUCAUGUUAAAAAUAAAAAUACAUUUAUUUAUCAGUCAUUUUAGUUUUUUAAAUGUUAUUACUCUAAAUUUGGGAGCUAAAACUGCUAAAAAUAUGUCAUUAUUUCUCGAGAUCUAAAUGUGUUUUUGGGUUGUUUUUUCUUUCCAUUUCAUCUCUAACAAGAUGUUUGAAUAGGUGUCAUAAACUUGAAAAGCAACCUAUGAAGUUUUGUUGUUUACUUCUUGAUAUACACAGAAAUAUCGAAGGAUCUUACCAAACUAAUAACCUAACAAAAUAACAAAUUUUAACAACAAAUAAACAAAAUAUAGUCAUAAAUUAGAUGCACAUAAUUAUCCCCCCGCCUCAAGCUCACAAGGUAGUACAGUAGAGACUAGCUUGAGUUCGCCAUGUAAUUCAUUGAACCGAGCAAGGUAAAGUACCUUGGUGAAAAUAUAUGUUGGUCGUUGUUUUGCACGAUACUUAGACUCGUUGUUUUGCAACAUCAAAUGGAAGAAGAUGUUGUGGUGAAAAUAUCUGUUGGUCGUUGUAUUUGUGAACUUACGAACCAUCCAUGCCCCACCUUAUGCACGUAAAUACCAACCACAAGACAAAUCCUUACAAUGAAUAUCAAAUAAAGUAUGAUUUGACCAAAUCGUAGUAAGUUCAAAACUAUUAGGAAGAGCAAACAAAUAAAUAGCUUUUUCAUACAUUUUUUCUUCUAAACAAUGCGCCUUUUUAUGAGAAUAUCAGAUUGUGAGGAUUCAAAAGCUAAAAAAUCAAUUGUUUUGGAAUUUAGAUUUGACUGUUAGACACAAUGCACAAUUCUUGUUAACCCAUAAUUCAAAUACAUUGUAUUUUCCAAACUGCAGAAGACAUGAUGUCAAUAACCACACAUAAAAUUGUUACAGGGGAAUUUUGAUGUAAGUAAAACUAACAUAAGUUACAAUCUAUUCUUAUCUUCAACCAUUCGAAUAAGAUUAGAAUUAUUGUAACCAUCCUAGUAAACCAUCAAAUGAGAAACAACAAGGAAUUGUAGGAGUGAAAAAGCUACCUUGAAUAUAAUCAGCAAAUUGUUGGAAUGAAUAAUCAAAUGAAAUAUAGACUUCACCAACACGAUAAUCUUGAGAUUAUGAAUUCUCAUUUCAUUUAUUUGUUGUAGAACCAUAGCAAACAAGAAAAAAAAUGAAAAAGUAGAUAGUUUUUUGUUUGUAAAAAGGGUAAAAAUACAUUCAUUUUGCCACUUGUUUGAAUUUUAGUUAAAUGAUGUUUUUCACAUCAAAUCAAAUCAUUUAGGUUAAUCAAAGAAAUCUUUUGAUCCUCUUGUUAAAUGAAUAAAUCUAUUAUUUUGAUAUUAAGAAAAAAACUAAAUCUUUACUAUUUUUUAAACUUAGUUAAUGAGAUAUUUUCAUAUUUUUGAAAAAAGAAAAACCAAAUAAAAUCUUCAAGUUGGUUUAUGACUUAUUUUCAAUUAAAUCAAGUCAAAUUAAUUUUCGGUUAACGAAAAAAAUACUUUGAUAUUUUAAAAAAUUAAAAUAAUUUUUUAAAAAUAAAUAAAAUAUUUUCGGUUAGAUAAAAUCAAAUCUAAUACAAAAAUUACCAAUUCAAAUUUAAAAAAUGGGAGAAAAUUAUGACUCAUUUCUCUCCAAUCUAUUAGAUUGCAAACACCUUUUAUUAGACUACUCAUCUAUUGAAAAUUGAAAAUUGAUGCAUGGUCUUUCCAUAAAAUACAAAGUAAUUGAAAAGUCAAAUGUUCGUCUAUAAUAAGGUGUAAGGCCCUGAUCCCAAAAGGGAGUCCUGUUCAAGAAGAACUCGAUUAAGAAAAGUUGUUUUGACCAAGUGUAGAAAGAAGCAUUAUAUAAAGAAGGUUUAGGGUUUAGGGUGAUGUGAAAAGAAGUAUUUGAGUCUAAAAGUCAAUGUGUGGAAUUAGGUAAUGUGUUGAGGCUGCUGACAAAGAAGAAGUUGCACGUUUAACACCAAGGACAACUAGGCGAUUGGAGUAGCGAUGCGGUAAAAAAGUACCUACGCUUAAGAGUGUGGCAAUAGGGUAGGUGUUUGGUUGAAAUGACUAGACAACCCUCUAAAGAAGAGUAAAAUUUUAAUGUUUUUUUAGCAGAGAGUCUGACGAAUUAAAGAAGUUUAGCUUGCCAAGAAGAUAAGGUUGACGUCUCAAGAAAAGUGUCUAUUUGUAGCUGACGUUUGACUUACGUGUCAAGUUUAGGUUGGCUGCAUUGCAUGCGAAAUAGAAAGGUGACACGUGUAAAGCAGAGAAGUGACACUUGGAAGUGAAAAAUAAUUACAAAUAGGACCAAAAUCUGAACGAAAAAAGGGAAAACAUAUUUGCUAAACGUCCACUAAGUUGUUAAGAGUAAAGUUUUUAGUCUUGAAAAGCCCGUUCAAGGAAACUACUAGGCAAGAAGAGGAAGCCAUAAGCCAAAAGGAAAAAGAAUUUAGGGUAAGUGUUGUUGUGAGUGAUCUAUACAAAAGAAAAUGUUUGUUGCAAAAUGAUUUCAUAUCUUUCUAAAUGAAAGCAUGUUUUUUAAAUAGCAUUCUUUUGAAAUCCCUUCGUUGAUGCUUGUUGUAUCAUAUCUAUGUUAUGUGUUGAAGCUGAUAUAUGUUGAACUAAUGCCUCUCAUGUGAUAUUGGUGUUGUUUAUGCAACGAGUAAGGGUGACUGAUCUAUUGCAAGAAGUUGGUAGAAAUCCAAACUUUAACACAAGACGUUGGUGAGUGUGAAUUCAAAGUCUAGGAGAGUAAAUGUUGGUGAAAGUGAACCCUAGGUCUGAGCAAGUAUGAGUUGUGUUCUUGAAAGGCUAGAUCCUGGUGAGUGUGAAUCCCAUAUCUGAGAUGAUGUUGAAUAUUACAAGACACUAACGAAAAUCCCAGGUAAAUCGCAAGACACUGAUGAGUGUGAAUUCCAGGUCCAAGAAAUGCAAGAAUUCCAAGUGCAAGUGAUGAGUAGUGAAUGCUUGAUCGCAUAAAGUGCAUGGAAUCAUUGUAUAUUUUUCGUGGUUGUGUUUAAUGAGAUAAAAGCUCGUGUUUAUGGACAUAAUAUUAAUGUUGUUAUUGAAUUUGUUGUAUUCCCAAAAAGGUUUUCCUAACCCCAUCACUCAUUAAGUCUUUAACUUACAUUUUAAGUUUUUCCUCCAAAGGUUGUUAGGCGUUGAGGCCAAGUAAGAAAUGGAGGUUAGGCGUAAAAGGCAAGUAAAUAAAGAAAAUGAGGGUUGUUAUGUAAACUUAUGUGCCGUCUAAGUUGUGUCAUCCUACCAUGCGUCUAAGGAUUCAUUGGGUAAGAACUUUACUCCUUAAUGCCAGGGGCUCUCGCUCACAUCGAGAAAAGGUCAUUUGAUACAUCAAGGUUGAUGAGGUCAAAGAUGAUGUGUAAUGACCCAACUCUUUAUACUAAGCUAAGUUUAUUACUAAUAAAAUAAAUAACAAAUUUUGCAUUUAAAAGAAAGGGAAAAAUUAAAUUCUCAAUCAAAAUGCUUUAAAUAAUCUUUCAUAGUUCAUACUUUGUAAAGGUAGGAAGAAAUACUAGAAAAUUUAGUACUAGUUGGGGCUCUAUCUAACUUCUAAAGAAAAUAACGUAAAAGUAAUUCACCAGUUUGAUAAAUUUAAAUAAAAUAUUAAAAACAUGAAAGAUGGAAGCAACAUAAGAUAUUUUCUAUGGUAAGUCAUGGUCACUUCUUGUCAUUCACUAGCUUUCCUCUACUUCUACCUCGGUCGGAAAAAUUAAACAUAGAAAAAGUGAGUAUAAACAUAUGCUCAAUAAGGGACUCACUACUAGUCUCACUAGGUGUCUAUUAACUUCUCAUUAGGGUUCUGCAAGGAAGUACCCCAAAAUUAUCGUGUUCCCAAACACACACUAUCUAGUGAUCCCGUAGGAACACAUCUGAUCUUCGGUGAACCCAAAGGAACACCUAAGAGAAACUAGUUUUCGGUAAACCUAAAGGAAACACCUAAGAAAAAUUGGUCUUUGACGAACCCGAAGGAACGCCUAGUGUACGUGACUCUAUUAGACCACUCAUAAACAUAUCAGGACAGACUGGUUGUCUUGUCAAACCACACGGUCAUAAAAAUGUGGUGAUCCCAAGGGACACUCAUAUGGGUAUGAGCCUAAUAGAAAAAGUUAGCAAAACACCACAGUCCAUAGCAUGUAGUAUAUCCUAUAACAUGGCAUGAAUAUCAAUCGUAACGUCCUUAUGAUGUGAUUAAUAUAUCAUGCACCAUAACAUAUUAGUCCUAUCAGUCAUAACAUAUUAGUCAAAUCAGUCACAACAUAUCAAUCAUCCAUAAUAGUCACAUUAUGCAUCUUAACUACAUCAAUGCAUAAUGAAAAAUACAUGCAAGCUCUUAAUAUUACUUAGCUUACAAAGGUCUAGUAGUAGAAUCUCUUAUAUGAGAUUAGCUUAACAAAAAUUAUUCCUAAUAGCCACCGUCAAAGCUUUCGAAACAGACAAAUCCUAAACAAAAAUGAAACUGAAUUAAUAAAUUUGCCAUCCAAAUAUCCAAGUAUUUAACUUAGGUCUCCAACUUUGCCCAAGGCUAAGGUUGAAACCAAAUCAACCUUGAAUGGAAAUAAUUUCCAUAGAUUAAUUCUUCCUCAAGUUAGCCAAAAACCUUUAAAGAGCAAAAAUCCAACUUAAUUCCACACUUUCAAUUAUUUAAGAUCUAAAUGGUAUUCAUUUGGGCGUACCAAACCCAACCAAAAAAUUACCAAAAUACUAUACGACUCCGAUGACUUGAGGAAAGUGAGGCAGUAGGUUGACUUGCAAAACAACUUAACUGGGAAGGAUCGGCUUGGCAAGAAUACAGAUCAACUAAAAAAGGAACACUUCCCAAACUUGACUGCGUGACACGUUUUUCCUUUUCCAAAAUAACAAAUCAAAUCUUCACUCUACAUUUAAUUCUCUAUCAAAUCCAACUUUCUCUUUUCCCCCAAUAAUAAAAUACUUCCCUUCAAUAAUUAUAUUAUCUCAAUAUAAUUAUUUUCAUUUCAAAAAUCUAAUUAAUUAUAUACAUUUUUAUAUAUAUAAUUAUUCUUAAUUUAUUCAAAUCCACCAUCAAUUAAUCAAGCCAAAAUCAACCAACCUAAAAUCAAAACUUUAAUGACACCAAAACUUCCAAAUCUUCAAAAAUUAAUUAAGUACUCUUCCCAUAAAUAUUUAAUUAGUCAUAAUUUGUACAUUAUUAAAUAAUUUUUCACAAAUAUCUCAAAAUAACUUUUCAAUAAUUCCAAUAUAAUUAAAUUAAACUAAGAUAAUUAUGUUUAAAAUUACCUUGAUUUUUAGAAAAUUGCAUCAAAUGACAAAAAUAUUUAGAAAAAAUAGUUCGUAACGUUUUUUUUUUUUCGUUUUGCAUAUUGUGAAUAUGAAAAAUAUGACAAGUAAUUAAUUAUAUCAGACGGCAAUCAAAGUGCUAUCGGAUGGCUAUCAUAGGGUUAUCCACUUUUAAAUUUGCUAUUUUUUCAAUUUAGAAAAUGUAAUGACAUAGACCCUAUUAUCAUAAUUUGUUUUUUAAUUUUUGAAAAUGCCUCUUAAUUUUUGGGGCGUUACAUGAUGAGCAUGAAGAAACUGAUCCAGGAUAAGAAAACCCUAAAGUUUGUCCCUACAAUGGUUGCUAGGCGAUGAGGAGAAUGACGAAAAUAAGGUCUUUACACUUCUAAAUACCCCGCCAUAAGGAGCAACAUUGGAAAGUGCAGGAAAAAAGGUAGAUCUGGAACUCAAUUUUAAUUUUAUAUGCCUCGCACGAAAAUUAAUGUAAUUGAUAAGUUCAAAUUUUGUGUAAAGUGUCAAGUUAAUUAAAAAAAAUUAUCUUUAUUUCGCCAUUUACUAUUUGUACUUACCGCUUAGUAAUGAAUUUCUUCGUUAUAAUAAGAGUACUAUGCGAUGGAGUAAGUCUAAAGGUUAGAUAUUUUUUCGCUGCAAGGAAUAAAGUCUUUAAGAUUCGAGGUGAAGGCCUUGUGAUAAAACAAGUUGGAGUAAGUUGUUACGCAACGGGUGUCUAGGCGACACGUUCUACUUCUGGUCGCGAGAAGUGACAUUUGGGAUAGUGCGUGACAUAAGUUCAAAUAAGGCAUACUGGAAAGAUGUGGCAUAUGUGUGACACAUGUUUUGCUGUAAAACUAAUUGAAUCCUUUUUUUUUUUUUUUUGCCAAAAAUUGGACCCCAAACGUUCUAUUUCCUCAAAUUCGAAAUUAUAAUUUUGAUCAAGUCGAGUAAUUAAAAUUUCUCUAGCCUAAUCCAAUUCAAGUCAAUGAUAGAAAUUUGGAUCAAGCCAAUUUGAAACUCAUGGGAAACCUCUAUAAAGCCGUUGCAAAAACUAAAGAUCAAAAUCUCUCCAAAUUUAAAUGUGAAGAAUUCAACUCCUGUCCAAACUCUUGAUAUCUAAAAGAUACAACUCCUUGCAAGCCAUAAAGAUUGAAAUAAUACAAUUCCUCUCAAGCUCCGGAGAUAUGAAAAAUGUAACUCCUCUAAAACUUCUUAAGUCAUAAAUUAAAUGGUAAGAGAUUGUCACGCCAAAGAUAAAUCCAAACAGAUCAACUAGCUUAAAAAUUGAUCAUUCAAAAAGAUCAACAACUUCAAAGGUCUUAUUUUUCAAGAGAUCAACAAGUCGCAAGUCAAUCCAACCUGAUCAAGCUAGAGAUCGAUCAAAAAAACGAAAAAGGAUCCAAGUCAAUCAAAAAGCCAAAUAAUGAUCAAAGGUGAUUAACAAGCAAAAAGACCGUUUCAAGGUGUGAUCAAUAAACAAAAGUCUAAUUCAAGAAGAUCAACAACCCCAAAAGUUGAUCAUCUACCAACAUCAUCAAAUCUAAAAAAUAAUUAUCAAACAAAAUCAAUACGUUUAAAAAUUAAAGUUUAUUUGUUGAAAGAAGGCAUGAAAGCUACGAUAUACUAAAAUUAAUGCAAAAAAAAUGAAUGGAAAGUUGAAAUUCCACUGAUCAAAUUGAUCCAAAAAAUUAAAUCACAUCGAAUAAUGGUACUAUUUUUUAUCCACCCAUUUGUGAAAAGAAUUUGUAAGAGUUAGUUGGAGGUGAAUUUAAUGUAAAAGUUUGUUUUUGAUUAACAAAAUUUAUAAUACCAAUAAUUGAGUCGAGAAGUCUACAAUUAAGAAGAUAUGGUAUUAUAAAAUUGGAGGGGAUAAGAUGUGGAUCAUGUCCAUCACCUUCAUUUAUAAAUAGAAAAAGAAAAUCCAAAGAAUCAAACAUUGCUAGCUAUUUUAUAUUUGUUGAUGGGUCCCUAAAAUUCAAUACUCAUAACUUCACAAUGGGGAAAACAAAAAACUUAACAUCUUUUAACACCUAUCCACGUGAUAUUUGUACUUUAGGUCUGAUUGCAAAUUUAGUAUUACAUAACGUUUAAAUUCAGUUUCUCUAAUUCAAUUAAAUACUCAUUUUCAUAAUAAAUACUCCCCUCCAUUUUAACACAAACUAUUUAUUAUACUUUCUUUUUUCCAAUGAAAUCCUACGGAUUAACCAUCCUUUUUAAAUCAAAGUUGAUAAAUUUUUAAUUUUAACAACCAUAUAUAUUUUAAAAUAUCCUAGCUACUCCUAUUUUAAAACUGCAUUGCUAUUCAAAUAGUUCAUUACUAUAUCUAUUGAAUUAUUGAAUUGUUAGGUUAGAUAUAUAAAAAAUUAAUUUAUAAAGUAAUAAAUUAUUUUUUUUUAUAAUAUUGUUAUUGGUUGAUUAAGAUAUAUACUCUAAAUUGGAUUGCUAGUUUUAUUAAGGAAAGUAGCAAAAUAAUUUAAAUAUUUUGUAAAUACGUUUUUAAGAUUUUUUUCUCCAUUUUUCCCUUCCAUUCCCAAGUUUGAUCACCAUUCACGAUAAUCAAAUAGCAAUAGUAGCAGGUAAUAAGGAAACAACAAUCAUAUAUAACAACUAGUAUCACUAGCAAUUGGUAUCAAAUGUAUCUAAAUGACAAUUGAAUAACAAUCAAUAUUGUUGACAAUUAGUAUUAUAUAGUAAUUAGGCAACAAUCAGUGUUAUUGACGACCAAAAUUAGAGUAAUAAGGGAGCAAUGGAUGUCAUUCAUAAUUAUAUUAGAUAACAAUAAUUAAUAUCAAAUAGCAACCAAACAACAGUCAAAUAACAAAUCAGCAUAAGAUAGCAAUUUGAUAAUAAUAAUCGAUAUUAAAUAACAAUCAGACGAUAGUCAAACAACAAUCAAUAUCAUAAGUAGUAAGAUGAAAAUCAAAUGAUUUCGGUAAUCUAAGUAUUUCAAUUGGUUUGGGCUUAGAGAAUUUUACUAUUUUUGCAAAAUAAUAAAUAGCACAUGAGCUAGGUUUGAUUUUAACGAAAGAUUUUGGCAAUCUUUUGCAAAUACUAUUUAUAUAGAUAAUAAUUUGAAACUACAAAUAAGACAACAAUAAUAUAAUUAGUAUUAUUGAAAAUAAAAAAUAAUCAAUAUUAGAUAGAAAUCAAACAAUUAUUAUAUAAUAGGUAAGUAUACACGUUAAUUAGUUAGAUAACAAUCAAUACAAAAAAGUAAUAAAAAAUGGAAGGUAAUCAAAUGACAAUCUAGACGCAAUCAAGCAAUAUCCAAAAUUACUAUGACAAAAAAGUUGUCACACCCUGUCCCACCCCAAAGUCACUUCUUUGGACUAACUAAGUGGAGGUAUGUCGCCUACACCCUCAGCACAUCCACAUCGUGUGAUAAACGUUGAACGCCUAGUAAGUGAAAAUAACUCUUCUACCAAUCCUUAGACUUAAGGCUUAAACGUAAAGCUUUCUCAAUACAAAACAACAUAGUACUUAAACGUUUGUGUUAGCUUAGCUUUAUGGCUUAGUUCACUUCUACUUCUUAGUUACUACACAACAAACAUGAGGUAAUAUAGCAGAAUGAGUAAAAACUUUUCUUUAUUAACUUAACACUUUUUACAAUAAGUACACCAAAACUUCGACUUUUCCUUACAACAAGAGAUUAGGAAAAAUCUUUUAGACCUUCCUUCGCAUAGCACAACUUUUCCAACUUGGUGACUGGGUUAAUCACCUCAUCGUGUAGUAGUGUGUGUUAAUCCUUCUCCGUCACCAAGGUAUAGCUCCGCACGAUAUGGUCUUUUAGGAAUCUGAGAUCUCUUUCUUCAACCCCUUCUCCUCGAGUCAUUAGCAGCCAAUCCAAGGACAUCCUCCAAAGUCUUCUUUCUUGUUCUUCUGCACUCAUGCUACUCCUUGUAGAGUGUACCUAGAGGUGUAAAGGUGGCACUUCCUCUUCCGCCUAGGUUGUCCAACUACCUCUCUUAGCGAGCCACACAUAGGGUUAUUCAUUUCCUAAUUCAGCUCCUUGGCUCUCUAGCUCAUCGGGUUAGACCUCUCGAACUUGGACAUUGCACUUGUCUGCCUUCUAAGUCAGGCCAUCCGCACUAAGGUGCAAUUCGCUUACCGCUCAAUGUCUGCUUAGGCAUAAUAGAAAUUUUCAUGGCUAACGCACCAUGUAAGACUACAAAAAUGCUCUAUCUUCUCUCCUUUAGCUAGGUUACAAUGCCUGAUAUCCAUUCUUCGCUUGGCUUCAACGCCUGACAACCUAAGGAGGGGAAAACUCAAAACAAAUGUAUGUCAGACAAACUUAAUGAGCGACGAUUUUAAGAAAACCUUUUGGGAAAUCAUAAGGAAUUCACAAAUUAAAAAACAAUGUCGCAACGCGUAAAAUUCGUUAUAGCUAACAGUUAACGCACAUCGCAUAACCACCAUCAGUCAAUAACCACACGAUGAGUUACCAACUAGUACAACAAUCACAAUCGCAAGCUCAUACUGAAACCCGAAAAUUUCUUUUUGCUGGUCUAGGAUUCGCUCUCACCAAAAUCACGCUAGUUACCUGAAAUAUUCAUCAGCUUCUAGCCGCAUUCAUAUUCAUAGACCUGAGAGUUACACUCCACUAGUGUCUCAUCAACAUCUUCCUUUUAGCAAGCGUUACAACGUCAUAAACUAGGAUCAUUUCACAAUAAACCCAUUGUGGGACCUGGGAAUCUCCCCUUGCUGACAUAGGACUCAUACUCAACUAGUGUCACUCCAUAGGUCUUAUUUUCUCUCAAUAUGCAACCAUUACAAACGACAAACAAAAAGUUAGUCUUUCUAGCUUAUUUUCCUUGCAUAACAUUGCAUUAGUAAGAAUAUCAUAUACUAAGCAUUGACGCAUGAAUACUUUGGGUAAUCAUCGGCAAAAUACAUUUUUCACACACCAAGUUUACAAACAUCACAUUAACUAUUUAUGUAACUCAUCCACAAAUCCUUUUCCCUAUUGAUUAAAGAUUUAUGAAUACUCUACCUAUAAGGAAUACUUAGAAACAAACAUUCAUUACAAAGAUACUUGUUUGGGUUCAAGAUGAAUCAUUCGUAACAUUUGUUUCUAAUUCGUGAAAAAACACAGAAAAGAAUUAACAGUAAAUAACAACUCAGAAAACACAUUGAAUCCUGUUGUGUCACUCACACAUAUACUUAGCCUCGACUCCAUCCUUCUUUGUUUUUGGCUUUCUCUUCUCGUCCCGCUGUUCCCACAACCAACCAUUUAGCAUUUCGAACCUCUCCUUUCCAUUUUCAUCUUAAAUCUAACUUUUUUUAGCAAAAGAAAAACUCUCUUUUUCAUUCGACCUUUGGCCAUUUUAUAGCGACUUCCCACAUCCAAGGGUCGUUUCAAUAUUUUACACGUUCUUCUUACCAAGUCGUUGUCCCAUACAACCAAACCAAACUCGACAUGUAGGCUAAAACAUCAGCGAGAUUGGACGUUCCCUUGAGACACCAACCUUAUCUCCUUGGGAAGCCAAACUCUUUAAAAUGUCUAACUCUUGUUAUCUUCUGAGGAAGCAACAAACAUUUAAUUUCUCUAUAGAGUCGUCGUCUACUCUCGUCAACAGGACACCUACUUCCCGCCAAACUCCUUUAGGUAUAAGUACUUCUUUUCGUAUUACUAUAUUAAGUGCCUAACUCCUGGCAUACAACAUAGACCUAUUCUUCGCUACUUAUUCUUAUCAAGUUGCUUGUAUUCGCGUGAUAUAACUUAGACAGGUAUUCCUCUUUGCAUCACAUUUUUCCCUUUUGCGUGUUUUCUCGCGAAAUGUCCUAUACUUUCAUCUGAAAUGACCUCAGCAAGGA